RNAcentral lists this long non-coding RNA (79827 nucleotides) under Brassica napus (rape). Its description in RNAcentral is "long non-coding RNA (BNAP_LNC008188)". Lineage: Eukaryota; Viridiplantae; Streptophyta; Magnoliopsida; Brassicales; Brassicaceae. The record is from RNAcentral.
GCCAUCAAUCUCGAGAGCAUAAACAAUCUCGUCCAUUAGUUAUACCAACAUAGGACCAUGGCGGCUUUUGUUACAUUCUUUCAUAACUAAACCUUCCAUGAUCACAUACAUUAGUCCAACCAAAUGACAUAAAUCAGUUAUGAAACAUGUGGCAUGAAAAUCACAUGAAAUGUGAUCUGUACAUGUCGAUUUUUAACUAGUCCAAAUUUAAUGAGAUCAAUUUAACCUUAUGGUACAAAGUGUAUGUCGAAGACUUUAAACUUUAUUUCUGAUCAGAAAAAUGUGCAUAACACAACCAACGCAUAGAACAUAAACCAAAUGACAAACUCCCACUAAACCGAAUGAUCCUCAGACACCGAAAUACCCAUACGAGCAGUAUGCUCAUGAAGGAUCUUAGGUACAAUACAUUUUGUUAGAGGAUCUGCAAUCAUAGAGUUCGCCUCUAAGUGUUAUAUGGUAAACUUUACACUUUGUACCCAUUCCUUAACAACUCGGUACUUGAUGUUUACAAAUUUAGACUUUACCGAACUCCUACUGUUUUGGAAUACAAAACGGCUGCCUUAUUGUCACAGUAGAACUUGAGUGGUCUUUCAAUUCCUUCAAGAAUCUUUAGGCCUGUGACAAAAAUUCUCAGCUAAAUUCUCUCAGUUGAUGUCUUGUAGACUGCUACCAGUUCUGUCGCCAUUGUGGACAUUGUUACGUGUGAUUUCUUAGCACUACGUCAUGAGAUCUCCCCUCCGGCCAACAGUAAAACAUAACCUAAUGUAGACUUUUUAUUAUCUUAGCAUCCCACAAAAUCAGAGUCAGAAUACCCAACGAUCUCCAAAUUAUCUGAUCUCUGAUAUGUGAGUAUACGGCCUUUUGUUCUCUGCAAGUAACGCAUGACCUUUUUGGCUGCUUUCCAAUGGUCCAUGCCCGGAUUACUUAAGUAUCUGCCUAACACUCCAACAAUAUACGCAAUAUCCGGACGCGUACAAACUUGAGCAUACAUAAGAUUCCCUACUGCCAAUGCAUAAGGGAUCUUCUGCAUCUUCUGAAUUUCUAGUUUUCCCUUAGGGAAUUGUUCGAGACAAAACUUGUCUCCCUUAGCGAUUGGGGUAUCUCCUGGUUUGCCAUCAUGCAUGCCAAAUAUUUUCAGAUAAAGAUAUAGCUCUUUUGUGAUAAUCCAAGAAUUUCUCGAGACGAUCUCGAUGAAUCUCGAUCCCUAAUACAAAAGAUGCCUCACCAAGAUCUUUCAUCUCAAAAUUUCCCUUAAGAAAUCUCUUGGUUUCAACCAGCAUGCUAAUAUCGUUAGUGGCCAGAAGUAUGUCAUCGACAUAUAAAACCAGGAAAAUAUAUUUACUCCCACUGAAAUUUUGAUAAACACAAUCAUCAACCAAAUUCACCUCAAAACCAAAGGAGGUGAUAACCAUAUGAAAGUUGUGGUACCAUUGACUGGAAGUUUGUUUUAGACAAUAGAUGGAUUUCUUUAAUUUACAAACCAUAUCUUUUGCAUCACCUUAGGAAAAAUGUUCUGGUUGUACCAUAUGAUUUAUAUCUUCAAUGUCUCCAUUGAGAAACGAUGUCUUAACAUCCAUCUGAUGAAGCUCCUUAUCAUAAUGUGCAACAAGGGCCAUGAUUAUCCUAAAAGAAUCCUUCGAAGAUACCGGAGAGAAGGUUUUUUUAUAAUCAAUCCCCUCUUUCUGAGUAUAUCCUUUAGCCACUAGACGAGCCUUAUAUCAUAUCACAUUACCAUUGGAAUCAUGCUUGGUUUUAAAUAUCCAUUUGCAACCAACGGGUUUCUUUCCUUCUGGUAAUUUAACGAUUUACCAAACCUCAUUGUCUAGGAUUGACUGAUACUCUUCUUUUGCUGCUUCGAGCCACAUAUCCGACAUGGAACAACUCAUAGCCUGAAGGAACGUGAUUGGAUCAUCUUCCAAAAGAUUUUGAUUUUCCUCAUGUUCCAUUAGAAAUACUAUAUAAUCAUCUGGAAUAGCAUUUCUCCUAACUCGGGUGGAUCGCCUAAGAGCAACUUGAUCUUGUUGUACUGGUUCUUGAGGAUUUUGAUUUUGACCUUCUUGUACGAUAUCAUCGACAACCUGAGUUCGAGGGACGACAUUAUUAUCAACCUGAGGAUCCAAAUUUACUUCAUCAGAAGUAACUAGACGAAUCGGUAUAGGUACCAGAGCCGAUUCUUCCUCAAAGAUGAUAUCCUUAACCUUAUUUCUCCCCCCAAACCCCAAAAUCAAUACCCUCAAAGAACGUAGCUAUUCCCGUCUCAAAAAUAUUUUUAGCAGUGGGAUCAUAAAACUUAUACCUCCUUGAGCGCUCCGAAUAACCAAUAAAAUAACUGCUAAAUGUUCUUGAGUCCAUUUUCUUUUCAUACGGCUUAUAAGGCCUUCCCUCAGCUGGACAUCCCCAUAUCCGAAGGUGCUUUAGACUAGGCUUUCGACCAGUCCAAAGCUCAUAAGGGGUUUUAGCAGUUGCUUUAGUUGGUACCCUAUUAAGAAUGUAUAUUGCAGUCUUUAGUGCAUUUCCCCAGAGUGAUUCAGGCAAGGAGGAAUGACUAAUCAUACUCCUCCACAUGUCUUUAAGAGUGUGAUUCCUUCUCUCAGACACACCAUUCAUGCUAGGCGUCCCCGGCAUGGUGUACUUAGGCACAAUACCACACUCCUCUAGGUAUCUGGUAAAUGGUCAUGGACGUUGUUCACCUGAGCCAUCAUACCGACCGUAGUAUUCACCACCAGGAUCAGAUCUGACAAACUUAUCCUUCGGUCGAGUUGGUUCUCAACCUCAGCCUUUAACCUUUUGAACAUGUCCAGAGAUUCCGAUUUUCCAUGAAUGAGAAAUAGGUAUGCAUAUCGAGAAUAAUCGUCAAUGAAUGAUAUAAAGUAUUGUUGACCAUUCCAAGAAACUGCAGGGAACAGUCCACAAAUAUCCGUAUGUAUCAACUCAAGGACUUCCGUAGCUCUAUAUGCACCUAAUCUCUUAUGUUUGUUAUGUUUUCCUUUAAUGCAAUCCGCACAUAUAUCACAAUCUGUGAACUUUAUGGAACUUAAUAUACCUUCUGAUACAAGACGCUCAACUCUAUUUCUAGAGAUGUUACCUAGGCGUUUGUGCCAAAGAGUUCCUGAUUUUGUAUCUUCGAACUUUCGUUUAGUACCUCUUGAUUCAACAUUUAAACUUUCAUCCUUAGAGUUUAUAAUGUCAAGCAUGUAAAGACUGUAAUUUUCCAAAAGUUUACCGGUCCCAAUAAGUACUGAAUUUAAAGACAAAGUAGCGGUUUUUUUCUCUGUUAGACAAAAAUAACGUGAGUUGUCUAACCCAUGACCAGAAACCAAAUUACGUCUAAAAGACGGUACAAUAAAGUGUCUUUCAAAUCUAGAAAAUGACCGGAACUAAAAAACUGUCUAAAAUACGUGAUUGCCUUCACAUGCACCGGACUCCCAUUAGCCACAUGAAUGCAUCUUUCAGCAUCAGUUGGGGUUCGAUACCUUAGGCAUCCCUGAAGUGAAACACUGAUGUUAGUAGUAGCACAGGAGUCUAACCACCAAGUGUUUCUAGGUACUUCAACCAAGUUCGUUUUCGAACAGACUAAAGCAAGGAACAUAUCUUUUUAGCACGCCAAACGUGAUACUUAGGGCAUUCCUUCUUUAUGUGUCCACCCUUCCUGAAAAAGAAACAUGUAUCUUCAACCUUAGCAUGUUUCUUUUGGGUAGGACCCUUAGCAGCAUCAUCCUUAACGGGUUCAAAUUUCUUUAUUUUGCCCUGUCUCUUAGAGGUGUAAACCAUAUGAGCACUUUCAGUCCUCUCUUGUUUCAUUCUCUCUUCCUCUUGCACACAAUACCCAAUGAGCUCGUUAAGAGACCAUUUCUCCUUAUGUGUGUUAUAAUUUGAUUUCAGCUGAUUGAACUGAGGAGGAAGAGAGUUCAAGACAAAUAAUAUGAGCAAUUCAGCCGGAAGCUCAGUAGUAAGUGUAUUGAGUUUUGAAACAAUGUUGGACAUCUCCAAAAUGUACUCCCUUAUUUUUCCAUUGCCAUGGUACCUCAUCAUACUAAAGCAAUGCAAAAGCAUACUUAUUUCCGCCUUAUCGCUUCUUGAUAUAUGGUGUUUUAUACAUCUUGUAUAUAUGCUUUUCAAUUGGUUUUCAAUUCUUUAUCGAGUCUUCGUAGUCCUUUUCGAGUCAUUACAGGUCUGGAGUUGCAUUGGAUGGGAGAUGGACCAGUUGGAACAAAAGAGGCAGCAAAAAGUGCAAUUUGGUGAUUUUCACGCAGAACAGUCUUGAUGACUGUUCCGGAUAGCGGAGCAACCCGAGUGACUGUUCCGAGUGUCUGUUCCAGGGGCAGAGAUUUUUAAGGAAACUAAAACCUAUUUCAGAAUUUACCCUAAUCUCUCUAUUUUCUCUCCCAGUCGCUUGUGGCUUUGAUAUAUCUUCUUUUUCUAUUUCUUCUGAUUAUUCUACGCUGUUUUAGACAUAAGAAACCAGACCUUAGAGUUGGAGACUGGAGAUUUUGCUACUUUGUAAAGGGAGAAGGCCAUCUCUCUCGAUUUAGAGAAGAACCCCUUGAACCCUAUUACUUUAUUUCAGUCAUAUUUCAUGUUGCUUUAUAUCUCUGUCUCUAUGUUUUUUUGCUCCAUGGCUGAGUAGUCAGCUUGCUUAGUCUAGGGUGUUAGGGUGUUAGAUCCGUGAGCUUGACAUAAAUAAGUUAUAAAUCGAUUGUCUUUAUUCACUGUUGUUCUUAAGGCUUGCAUCAAGUUAACCACUUAGUGCCUGAUUCUAGGUUUAAUCUAUUCAUCAAAAGUGUUAUAGGUUGCUAGACAUAACUUGAAUGAGCAUUGCAUCCCUAACCAGCGAAAGUAGAUGUUAGGGUGUUUUGUGAACAUAUUGGACUUGACCUCUAUUGCUUGCUGUCGCAUCUUGAUCCAAACGAGAGUUUAGGUAUCAAGAUCGAUCAGCAUAGGGAGCAGUACCAUGACAGUGGGCUGUUCUACUUGAGUGAUCCGAGUUCUAGACUUGCUCUUAAUUAAACUUGAAUAAUUGUUUGGCUCACACUUGCUUAACACCCGAUCAAACCACCCUAGGCUAGCAUUUUUAAUUAUCUGAAUUCUUUAAUUAAUCUUGUUACUUGUUUCUCACGAAACCCUCAAAUCUUAAAAUCCCCAUAUUGUUUUAGCUUGAUAUUGAUCCCAUAAAAAUAAAGUGUAACCGUUGGUCUCUGUGGAUUCGAUCCUAAAGUGCUACAUCGACAUACCAUUCGAUUGUGGUAGUGUGCACAUUAGGUUAAUUGGUGUGCGUAUACACGUAAUAUCACUUCUUGUGAAGCGCAAAUCCAUUUCGGCAAGGAACUGUUUGAGAUCAUUGAUCUCCCCAUCACGUCUAAAGGUUUCUGGAAUGAUGUCCUUAACGAUCAUCAAACCCAUGCGAUUUGAACGCUCCUACUUCUCAUGAACAGACUUAUAUUCCUAAGUGAUGUCAUCCGUAGGAGAAGCAGGUUUGUCCAUCCUUAGCGCAAGGUCGAGAUCCAUACACCCUAGAACAAUCUUAACUUUACUUUUCCAUUCGAAAAAAUUAGAAUCCGUAAGUGUUGGAAUAGAUCCUAAGUUGGCAGAUAAAGUAGCUGAAAAGAGAACAAAAUCCGAAUUAAUUACUCACUAUCCGAAGAAAUCAAUAAUAAAUUUUAACGGAUUAUACUUCCCAUCCAAGAUACCAAAUGUAACAUCAAUAUCAAGUCUUUGGACAGUAAUAUCGACUAUUAGCGGUACUCUUGUUGUAAUGAUCAAAUACUGACCAUAAUUCAUGAUAAACAAUAAACCUUCAUUUGGGCCGAUUUAUCAUUCACAUGUUAAAAAGCUAUAUAAUCGUCAUGUAUUCACCAUCACACAUGUAUGUACAAUUCGGCCAAACAUUAAACCUUCUUUGGGCCGAUUUGACAUCCACAUGAAUAUUGCACAUAUGUAUAUAUGUAAACCCGACCAAAUACAACCUUUCUUUGGGCCGAUUGAAUAUUCACAUGAAUUUACAUAUAUACUUCCUUUAAUAAUUCUCUUAAAAAAUCUUAUUAAGAGAGGUCUUCCUUUGGACUGACAUCUUAAUUUAAUUAAUUAAUUAAAUUAUUAAAGAUGCAUUAUCAAAUUUAUUAGUUGAUUUAAAACUGAAUUUUAUUCUUGCGCAGACAGAUAACUAGAAGUCUGUGGGCUCUAUAUACAAAAAUACUAAAGCGGGAGAAUGGUUCGAGACAUGGCAGUGGGCGCCAGCUUCACACACGACCUUUGUUUGAAACCAACUUUAUGCGCUUUUUAACUUAAUUAAAAGCUGGACGGGCCUGACUUAAAGUUUGUUCCAAACUGGCCCAACUGAUUUAAAACAAAAGAAAUUAGGCCAAAAUAAUUAAAUUUGCAAGCCCAAAAUAAUUAAUUAAAUCAGAAACUGGAUAUGGGCCAAAUAACAAAACAUGCCUACCACGGAUUUAUCUCCAACCUAGGGUUUUCAUGAUAACCUCAAACAGGUUUUUUCAGCCGCCAAGACCCAAAAAAAACGGAUCUGAGAACAGAUCUGGAAAAAUUGUUCCUCAAAAAAUUCUGAAAAUUUUCAUUAAAAUUCUCAAUAAACCAUAACCUUAUAGACACUAUUUUUCCAGAACUAAAUCCACAAACUUUAUUUAGAUCUGAAUUUAAAUGUUUUCCACUAGAUAACAACCAAAGAUCUAGAUCCAAACAUGCCAAACAAUUCAGAUCUAACACAAAUCCCAGAAUACUUUAUCUAUCUUAAACCUUAGAGAAAAAAAACAGAUUCAACAAUCCAAUAUUUACACACAAUAAUAAAAUCCAAAUUUAUAUUAUGAACUUUAAAUAAAUUCGAAUUUCCUUUAGAUCCAAACAAAAAAUCAACAUGGUGCUCUGAUACCAAUUGUUAGAUUUAAUUCUCUAUAAUUAAUCAAUAUGAAUCCUUUAACCAUAUGAAUCUAUGAUUAUAUAGGCUUAAGCGGAAGCGUACCUGAUGUAUCCAUUGCUUAUAGGAUCUGAAGUUAGGGAAUGGAUCUUCCAAGUCAAACUCUAUGUGACUUUAGUUUUCUAUUGAUGGGAUAUAGAGAAAUUAUGUAUUUUCGGCUAGGGUUUCCUUGGAGACCAAAACCCUCUUUAUAUAGAGUAUAUUAAUUUUUAGUUCAGCCCUUCACUAAACUAGAAAUUACUUAAGGUACCCCAUAUAAAUAUUUCAUAACACUUAUGCCCAAGCAUUUACCUUAUUCACAAUAGUGACCACUUAAAUAGGCUAAUUGAUUAAUGGUCCUAUCAUAUUUAUUUCUUAACAUAUGUGACCCCACCAAAUGAUCUUACAAUAGUUAUAUAAAUUCAAAAUCAGGAAGAAAAAACUAAACAAAGGGGAGAAAGUAAGAUAUAAAUUGUUUAUAAAGAGAAACCAAUCAAACCAUGGCUGACUUCACUUGGAACCUCCUUCAUCCAACUUUGUUGUUAGCAUUCAUUUUUUCCUGGGAAGUGGCAAAAACCUCCUUCAUCCUUUGUUAAAUGCAAUGUGGGAUCAUCUUGGGAUGAGAGUUCAAAAAUAGAAGGGGGUGCUUGUAUUGUACGUGAUGAGAAAGGUUGGUUUUGUUCCACAACAUAAGGUCUUUUUCUCAAACUGGAUCUUCCUCCCAAGCUAACUUGGUAGCACAGUGGGCUGCAGCAGCCAUGUGCGACCUCAAGCUUUAAAAUGUAAUUAUGGAGUUCUCGUCUUCAGAAGUCAAAAAAUCUAUGGAGCAUUCACUUGUGUCCUUAGGCGAUUAUCAAAGCUGUUCCUUAAUUUACGCUAUAUACGAUACAUUCCAUUGUGGAAGACAGUUUGAAUUUUGUCCCGGUCUCCUGUAACAACUUAGCCAAUAUGAUUACGAGAGAUCAUAAACAUCAGUCGUAUGUAGCUCUUCACGGUCCUGUGUGGUUGGCAUCUCUGAUUCGCCAGGAAGCAUUAGCUUAAGGAGUUCCAUGUUCUGAUGGGUAGCUGUGCUUUGGUUUCCUUUCUUUAAGGCUCUGUUUUUUUUCUCUCCUAUUGGAGUUGGUUUUAGUUCUGCUCGAUACUCUAUGUUGUUUAUCCCUUGUCGUUUGGCUGGGACAGAACUUUAUUAUCCUUAAUGACAAAAAAAAGAGUUACAGCUACCGACGCAUUUUGAAAAGAACAUGUUAUCAUUGAUGUUAGAGGUGAAAUUCAGCCUGCUUUAUACCCGGUCCGAGCCUGAGUCAAAAUUCUCCAGACUCACUACAAAAUAACAGGCUCACAAAAAUCUAAGGCCCAUGCCAAGCUCAACAAACGGUUCAUGCAGAGCUAACACAAUCAAACCACAGUGUAAUACGGUUCAAAGGAAUAAAGGCACAUGAUACUCGUCAGAGAUCACAUGGCCGUUCCGAGCGACUCUUGACCUAUAAAAACAAAACCAAAGACAGAAGAAAAGGAGGGAAUUGUCCUAGAGCAAUACUUUUUUUUUGUUCUUAGAUACCUACUGCAUUUGUACUCGUUUUUACUCGUAUUAUCAAUAAGAUACACUUUUUUUUUAUAAUAUCGUCAAUAUGUAAAUCUUUUAUACAUUUCUUCCUAGACGCGUAAUCGAAACUGAAAUAGAUUUUGACAUCCAUCAAUUGAUUCAGUUACAUAUAAAAUACACUUUUACAAGAAACCCAUAGGAAACUUGUAUCUUAAGCUAUUGGGAAAAUAUGAAAUCUCGCCAUUGUUUUAUGUUCAAUAAGAUUUCCUCGAGUCUUUAAGAUGAUUGCAAAGAAAAACUAUAGGGAAUUAAUUAAAUGAAUGGUUGGUUGGUCAGGAUACAUGAUCAUCAACACCGGCGGAUUGAAAGCUAGGGUAUGAGCUUUCUUCGUGCAGUGUAAAUGGCGUGGUCUCAAACAUUUUUACAAGAUGAUAGGAAUAAUGUAAAAAAAAAUUAAAUCUUAGGUUAAUGGUUAACCGAAAAGCUCUGUAUCCACUUUUGGUAUUGGCUGGAUUGGUUAUAAACAUAUGAUAAAAAGUGUUUUUAAUAUUUAAAUUUAAUUUUAUUUUGUGCUUUUAAAGCAUGAGUAUAGGUUUUCAACUGACAAAAAAUAUAUUUAAUAAAAAUUAAAUUGUUUACUAAAUUUGUAUUCUUUUUUAAAAUAUGACUUAAAAUUUCAAGUGAAAUACAAAAAUAACCCAUGUUUUUUAAAACUUUCAUUUUCCCUAUUCAGCCUAGAAGUUUGAGUUAUUCACAAAAAUGCCAUUAUUAUUUUCUUUCUUUCUUUUUUUUCGAAAAUGAGUCUUUUACUUUAUCAUCUUCAUCUUCCCCAAGUAUUUACAAUGUUGACAUUGUUAUCAAUACAUUAAUCACUAUGAACAACCAAUUUGAAACUCUUAAUGCACCAAAGUUUCGGUUUUAACUUAUUAUGUCUCAUUACUUAUGCACACAAAUCACAUCUCUCUCACUCUCUCUUCAAAUUCAUCAAAAAAAAACAAGAUUUUGAUUCCAAGAUUUGUAAGGUUCAUAGAGAUAUUGAAGCUCAUGAUUCGUGGUCAUUAACGAAUUGGUAGCUUUUGUAGUGAAGUUUUGGGUGCUUGGAGAAGCUAAGCAAGUCAUCUCACAUGUUCAAGGUAUGCAAUCGUUUUUUUUUUCAGAAGACUUUAAGAAAACUUCAGAAAUACUUUCAGAAGACUUCGCUAGAUGUGUUAUCCAUCAAGAAGACUUUGCUAGAUGUGUUCUCCAUCAAGAAGACUUUUCUAGAAGUCUUCUAACUUUCCUUUAUUAACAAAAAAAAAAAGCAAAAAAUCCCGGAUAAACAUGUUAGUUUUGCAAUUGACCGAAAUUUGUCAGAAAUUUGACUUUUAAUGGAAGACUUUUCGGGAAAUCUUUUCGAGAAAAACUUUUAUAGAAGUAUUCUGUAAGUUUUCCCGAAGUCUUCUCACUGUCGUAAGAAGUUUGCGUGGGUUACUUUUGCAAUUGAAAAAUAAUAGUAAAAAUUUUAAUAUUAAUGAGAAGACUUCUCUAGAAAAGUCAAAUAUAGUCAAUUUCAAAAGUAUCCCAUGUAGACUUCUUGCGACAUUGAGAAGUCUUUAUAAAAAGUCAAAUAUCUGACAAACUUCGGUCAAUUGCAAAACUAACAUAUUUAUUCGAGAAGUCUUCUUUGGCAUUUUCAAUUUUUUUUUGAAAUUCAAAAGUAAGCCCAUUUACAAAGGAAUGCUUUUCAACAUGUCUUCAAUAGAGUAGACUUCCUAAGAUGUCUUCCUUCGUAAAUUUGCAAUUGCAAAAAUGACAUAAACAAAAGACUUCUAUAGAAGUCUUCUACGUUAAUGUUUAAUAAACCUUCAUUUUCUCUACAAUUAAAAUGAUAUUUUAAUACUUUCUUAUUUAUUCAUGUGUAUUAGUCAAUAUUGGAGCACUUUGAUGAAAUUCAUAACUUAUUUGGUGAUAAUUAUGAGAUUUCAAAUAUUUAUGUUUACUAAUGUUUCUAACUAAUCCGAGAAAACUUCUUAAGAAGUCUUCAGUUUUCUACGUUUGAUUUUCAAGAGUGUUAAGUAACUUCAAGAAUAUCAUGUCAUGUGGUUUAAUGUAUCUUUUAGAUCAUAAGAUAUACUUUUUAACUUACAUAAGAUUUAAAAUUUCAACUUUUACUUAAAAUUCAAAUUUGAUAUUUUGUGAAUUUGACUAAGUUUUCAUGUGAAGUCUUCUCUCUUAGUUUUAGUAAAUUUGACUAAGUUUUAAUUGGUAUGUUAAUAAAUUCAUUAAUGUCAAGUACUUUUGGCAAAACAUGAACAUAUUCACCAAAUUGUUUUGAUUAACAUCUCUUCAAGUUUACAAAAGAAUUCACAACUAAAAUAGUACACAUACAGAUCAUAAAACAAGACUUAAAACAAAACUAUUACACAUGGAGCUAGAUAUCAUUCUUCAACAAAGAUAAGCUUGGCGGACUCCAGUUGACAUCAUUCCUUUGUACCAUUUUGGGCAGAAGACUUUGGAAGACUUCCUGAAGACUUGGUGGGAAGUCUUCUAGCAAUAAAUUCAUUAGCAAGAAGUCUUUUAAGAGUCUUCCGAGAUUCUUCUAAGAGUCUUCUAAAAAGUCUUCCAAAGUCUGAUUCAGAUCUGGAAAAAAAUCUACAUAUUUAAAAGCGUUCAAAUGGCCUUAAAACAAAGAAAGCUUCAAAAAACAUUUUAUACUUAAAUAAUUAACAAAACAAUCACAUUCAGUUGUUUCUAUAACUUUUUAGAAUCUAAUAUAUAAAACACACAAAAUACAUAUCCAAAAUUUAUACCACUUUGGGCAUAAAACUUCGGAAGACUUCGCAAGAAGUCUUCCUAGAGUCUUCUAAGAAUUUUUCCAAAGUCUGACUCAAAUAUGAAAAAUUUGCAUAUCCAAAAACAUUCAAAUGGCUUCAAAACAGAGAAAACUUCAAAAAAAAAUUUAUGCUUAAUAAUAAACAAAACAGUCACAUUAGAUUGAAUCUAUAAUUUUUUAGAUUUAAUAUAUAAAAAACAUAUAAAAUACAUAUCCAAAAUUUGUACCACUUUAGGAAGAAGACUUUGGGAGACUACCUGAAGACUUCGAGGAAAGUCUUCUACCAUAAAAUGCAUUAGAAGACUUGCCUAGAAGUCUUCCGAGGAGUCUUCUGAGAGUCAUCUAAUAUAAGUUUUUUAAAGUCUGUUUCAGAUCUGAAAAAUCUGCAACUUCAAAAUCAUUCAAAUGGCUUAAAAAAUAUAAUUUAUGCUUAAAUAAUAAAAAAAACCAUCACAUUAGGUUAAGACUUUCGGUUAUGUUACGAGAAAUGACGGCCGCGAGUCACUAAGGGUAUGACUGGUUUCUCUGCUACAACUCGUAAACGCAGCUUUUGUGAUUAGUAGUGGUUGUUGGUGUUUUGCAACAAUCACAUAAACCGCUCUAAAUCUCAUAAAUUCAAAAAUUGGUUCUAGCUAGCGUUGGCGGUUGCGGGAGGAUAAUUUUUUUUUCUUUUUUUAAACAAUAUAAAUACAAAAAUAAAAAUAGUUAAUAAAAUAUUUAAAUUGGAAUUAUAAGAAUACUAAAAUAUAUCUAUUAUAUUUUAACUAAUAUUAUAAAAUUUUAAAAUAAAAAUAUUUUCUAUAAUUUUAAAAAAUUUAAAACUAUAACUUUCUAAAUAUAAUUUAUAUAUUUAUUAUAAUAUUAUUAUUUUGAUAUUGUUAUAAUUAUAUAAAGGGAAUUCUCCUAAAUAGACCAUUUUCAAAUUUUGAUCAUAAAAUAGACCACAAGAAGGAAAAUGACCAAAAUGUUUCAUUUAAUAGGUAAAAAGAUCCUAACCCUAUAUAUAUAAAUAAAUAAAUAAAAUAAAAAAAAAUUAUAAUUUUAGAUUAUAUGUUUUCAAAUUCGAACUUUUUUAUAAAUUUUUUUUCGAAAAUUUGUUUUUAUUUUUUUCAAAUUUUUUUUUUGUAAUUCAAAAAUACUUUUUGAAACUAUUUAAAAAAAUUUAUUUUCAAAUUUUUAAUAUUUAUUUUUUAUUUUAUAAAAUUUUAAAUUUGAAUCCCAAAUCUCCACCCCUUAAAUCUAAACUCUAAGAUUUGGAUUAGUUAACCCGAGAGGUAUAAGUAUAUAUUUACCUCUUUAAUGAAACAUUUUGGUCAUUUUGAUCCUUAUAAUCUAUAUUUGUGACAUAAACAUUUUUAGUGCUAUCCUAGAGUAUUUCUCUUAUAUAAAAUUUAAAUAUUGUUAAUUUAUUAUUUAAAUGCUGCUGCAUUUAGUGGUUAACCAGUCAUAAGUAUCCCCCAAACGUACUAAUUUCUAACCGCAGAACCAGUCGUGCAAAGCUCUUAAAAUCGCUGGAAACCGUAACUAUCCGUAUCCGCAAACUUUCGUACCCGCAACCACAACCGCCGACAUUUGAACCAGUCAAAUCCUAAGACAUCGAAAUAAAGUUAACCAACCGCAAUUCUCGCCUUUCUGCCGCAGACCGGUCAACCAGACUUCAAACCAGACCUCAGGCAAGAACAGAUCUACCACCUCCACCUCGCCUUUCUCCGAUAGACUUAAGAGACUAUUUGGAAAACCCUAAAAUGCCGCUUCCACCGAACGCAAUCCCUACAUCCACCGUGCCAUGACUCCAACACUAAUUUGCAUUUUUAAUUUCUUAGUUGAAGACUCCAACUUGAAGUAAGGGUAAUUUGUUUUCCCAUAUACAUAAAAAACCCUCAAAUUCACUAUUUAACCAAAACACUCCCUUCUCCUUAUUUAUUUUCGUAUCUCUCUCUCUAACCUCUGAUUAAACAUUUAAUUGUUUUUUAAAUGUCUUGUUUUUUCAAUUAAAUGUGUAGUUGGGAAAAAGCUACUAAUUUUAGUUUUGAAAUCAUAAUACCAAUUUCAUUUUCCGAUAAAUAAAGCUACUAGUAUUAAAAUGUUCGUCCUUUUCUUCACAAGAAACAAAAACAGCGCUGGUGAAUUCAAUGAACAUUUACACACUUUCAAAGAGUUUGGUAGUUAUUAAAUUCUAAUAAUGGAGAAAAUUAAUAUUUUUUUAUCAAUUUCUUCACCUUUUUCGAUGCAUAUAUGGUCCACAUUAUUGGAAACUGUUUGAGAAAGGCAUAAACUAUGGAUGAUUAUCUUUACAAAAAUAUAAAUUAUUUAUUUGCCAAAAUUCAUGAUUGCUUCCUCCGUUUCUAAAAGAUCUAUGUUUUAGAAGAAAAAAAUUAUUUCAAAAAGAUAUAUUUUUCAUAUUUACAAUGCAUAAAUUAAAUAUAAAUUGUAAGCUUCAAAAAACAUAAUUGUAUUUAUUAAAAUUUUAUUGGUGAAAACUUGUGGAAAAUAGUUGAUUGCGGAAAAUAAUGUAUUUGUAACUAAAAUUUGAUGUAUUUUUUUAAUAAGUGUGAAAAUCCUAAAAUAUGGAUUUUUUAAAAACAGAAAGAGUAUAAUUUUUCUUUUUCUUACCUUAAAUGUCAGGCUUUUAGCCUAUUAAAAACUGUAGCAAAAUAAGUAAUGUCAAUAUAUAUAUAACAAAUUUGAAAUUACAGUCAGAUAUCCACGUACAUUGAAGCAUAUAUAGAUGACCUAUAUAAGAUGGUUUGUCAUACCGUAUUUACAUUAUUUUUAAAAUAAUAGAAAUUAUCUCAUAUAUAUUUCUAAAUUCUCUAAAUCAAACAAUGUUGUUUGGUUAUUUACAAUCAACAUUGUUCUCAGUAUAGUAUAGUCCAAUAGCUGUUAUGUUGUAUGUACAUAAACGGUGAGAAUAGAAGGUGAAGUACCAUUUAUUAGCAUUUUCAGUCGUCGCCCAAACAUUACAUUAUGGUACUGUAGUUUUGAGUCCGACAAAGUUAAUACAUGCCUCUUCAACCGAUUAAAGUAGAUGUGUUAGAGUUUUUUAUUACCAUCUGGCAUACUCUCUUUGUUCCUGAUCUGUUUCAUCUCAAAUGAGACACCAAAAUGACAUCAUUUUAUUAAAUUUGGUGAUUUGUAAAUAGAUUAUAAAAGACUAAUAUUAUUGGUAGUUUUAGUUUAUAGUUGAAAGCAAAUGAUGCUAUUUUCUCUUUUCUUACAUUAGUUAACACUAAAAUAUUAUUUUAUUUAUAUUUAAUAAUUUAACUUAAUGAAUAUUGGGGAUGAUUGGUAAGGACUAUAGCUUUAUAUUUUUUUCUGUAGAAUUUAAUCUGUAGAUUUUUUUGCUAUAGCUUUCAUUGUUGUAACUUUCUAAAGCACUAAUUUUUUGUUCUAAAAAUAAAGCUCUCUACCGGCGUAUUUUGAUUUUGUUCAGAUUUUUUUUCCUGUGAGUAUUUUAAGGAAAGUAAUGUUCGAUUGAUUGACAUAUAUAACUCUAGUUUUAGCAAAUGUUCCAAAUAUAAUAUAUUGUAUAUAUAUGUUCAUGUCAUUGAAAUUUAGUUAUAUACCAUAUAAAAUAAAUAAAAUAAUUGUUUUGAUUUAUUUACAAGAUGUAUUGUUUUGAUUUAUGUAUUUAUUCUAAUUUAAUUAUAUACAUAAUACGUAAAUGAAUAUAAAUAGAUAAUAAUAUCCCGCGCAACUGUGAGGAUCUUAAGCUAGUUUGAUAGAGUUUGACGAUACAAAAUAUCACUAUCAAUCCAGGUAAUAAAUUUAAUGAAAUUGGGAAAAUGUACGCCAUUUUUGUUUUGCUAGAUUUUCUUGUAAAGAAAUUAAAAGGAUAUACAUAUAAUUCAUUUAUUUAUUUUUUUGUGUCAAAACAUUCAUUAAAGUAUAUGUAGCUAAACUUUUUUUUACCUUUUUAUUAUUUCCUCAUCCAAAAUUAUGAUUAAAUGUAGCAUCAUCCUUUGCUACUAUUUCUUGUUACAUAUAAUUAUACCGAUAUUUUGUUACCUCUCCACAAAGUGUCACCAUCAAGUAGUCACUUAUGAUUUUUAUGAAUUUGACUACUCUUGAGUCUUGAGUCCCCUCAUCCCCGGAACUACAGCCUUCACUUAUAUAUCAACAUUCUGACAUCAAAACUCUUUUUUUUUUAGAAUAUAUCAAUAACUCUCUUGCUUCUUUUUCUUUUAUAUUACACAUUCUUGAUGCUUCAGAGGUCUGUAAAGAUUUUUUUGUCUGAAGAAACAAUGGAGGAGAAGAAACCGAAUCUUGAUGCUCCGUCUCUAUCCGUGAGACGAAUUCCAACGAAACUAGAGAAUCCAAGCGACUCAGAGAACACCAAGAAGAUUACAACGACGAUCAGGAGGAGAAAAGUCAAAGAUUCAUGUCAAGAAACUGAGCAUGGAACUGUGGUUCGGUUAUUACAAGAUGACAAGAGCUUCGAUCAUGUAGUGGAACCAUCUUUAGUUCCAUUUGUGUGGGAACAAACACCUGGAAAGCCAAAGGAUCAUCAUACACUACUCCAAGAAUCAGACCUAAUCAAAGCAUUGGAUAUGGUUUCUUCAACCGCAAGCUUUUCUGUUAACUGUAGUACAAACGGAGUAAGUGAUGAGUUCGAGAACAAUGGAGGCAGACCAAGCAGUGUAUCAAAAGAUGACGUCAAUCUUAAAUAUCGUGACCUCAUCAUGGCGAGAUUUUUACCAGCUGCUAAAGCGAUUGCCUUGAAACAGAAGAAAGGAUCUUUUAGAGACCAAGAAGAGAAGAUGAUGAAGAAAAAGAAAAAGAAACGGAUCAUUGCUCUACAGAGAGUCUCCAUGGCCAUAAAUCAAGAUUUAAACAAUGAUGGUCAUGAUCAUGUUGAAGAAGCAGUCCACUCAAGUGAGCCCAAGAAGGCUAUGUUUGGGUUCUUGCCACAGUUAUGUUCCAAGAACUCACUGGAUGUUCUUAAUCCGGUUCUUUUUCGGAUCAAAACUUGUCAGAAUGUUGCGGUAAGUUCUAGCAAAAUCAUAAACCCUAUAACACAAUAUUCUGUUUAUAAAACCAAACCAGCAUCAUCAACAAUAAUCGUGAGAUCAAACAAGGCUAUGAGCAAGUCUCAAGAAACCUCUCCAAUACCAAGAUUUUCAGAAAAGCUUUCCACAACUUCGAGGUUGCAAAGAACAUCGAGUACUCAGAUCAAGAGACAAGAUACGAAGUUUCUUUCGGAGGGGGUAAAGAGAAUGAGGAACAGAAACAAAAACAGGUCAGGGAAUAUCUCUGUUUCUCAACCUCCGUUGCCUAAAACUCCUUCAGAGUCCUGGCUUUGCCGUACACUUCCGAGAAGUUCGACAGUCAGCACCGUCGUCCCUGGUCAAUUACCCGUCCUUCUAUCCGGUCAAGACACCGGUUUGAGGAAGAUGAUGGAUCAAAAGUCUAUUAAAUGGGAGACGAUUGUAAAAACAUCGUAUAAACACCAUGACAAUGUACGCUACUCAGAGGUAUGAAUGAUAUUCUGAAGAUAUCUUUAUUUUUCUAUGUAUUUUAUUUUGAUUUUCUGUGUGAUUUUUCCGGAUUAUGUACAGGAGCUCACUGUUGUUCAUCCCUCUCGUCAACACAAACCAUAAACCGGAAUCUUCUUUUCCGGUACAGUAAAAUUUAGUGAUAUUUAUUUAAUGUUGUUAUUACGAUUGUGGUAUGUGUGUGUUAAAGAAGAAAAAUAAUCUGUACAAGAGGUAAUAAUGUCGGAUCAAUCCAAACUCCGUGUCGGACCAGUUUGGGUUAGGUCGGAAAUAUAGUGCCACAUAUCAACAUUUAUUAUUAUCACCACCAGUAUCUAAGGAUGUGUAUGUGUAUUGAUUCAAACAUUUGGAAUGAAUUUUUUUAAAACGAAAAUUUCAUUUUAUUUUAAAAUAUUAUAAUAAAAUUUUAAAUCUAAUAUUGAUUAUAUUAUCUUACAAAUGUCUAAACAAGAUCCAAUUCAUGGUAACCAUGAAUAUUAUUUGAUAAAAAAUCCAUGAAUAUAUUCAUCUGGACAAAUGUCUAAUUAUAGUAUUUUAUAUAUGUCUUCUAACAUCCUAGAUAUACUUAACUAAUGAUACAAAACACCAAAAGUCUUUUGUUAUUGAAUUUUUAGGUAUAAUCAAUCUGCUUUUAUAAUUUUAGUCCAAAAUGUUUUACAAAUACAAAAGAUUCAAAUUCAUGAUCUUAAUUAUGAUUUGACAUGAAUGGGCCAUAAAACUGACUUGAGUUUUUUUUUUUUUGCCAACUGAUAUUAUAUUAAACAUGGUCAUAGUACAGGGAGCCUGCUAACAGAUCCAUAAAACACACCAGACAAAAGCUCACACGGGCUUACAAAAAUAAACAGACACAAACCCAUUAAAAACCCAUACGCAACCCCUUUACAGAAGACACGCUAACAUCACGUGUAUUAAGGAAAAGGAGAUAACGAGGGACACGCGUCAAGCACAAGAGCAUCUUCCCCAAUUCUCCACCGACCCGAACAUGUCGCCGGAAAGAGUCAUCGAUUUGGACUCGCCUCUGGAACCAGUAGUCACCUUCUACCGAAAUCACAUCAGAACACGAGCUAUCUUCAACUUCACCAAUAAUUACUUGACCACCGGAAUCAACCGGGAACUUAACCAUGAACACCGAAACCACUUCCAACGACUGUAUUGGAAGCAUAAGGAUUCAGUCUCUGUCACGCAUAAACACCUAAGCUUUGAAGAGAAUCAAUCGAUUAGAUUCGAGAUCUCAUCCAACCUCCGACCACACAUCACGACAACGAAAACCUUUAGACAACUCAAGUACUCCUGAUGAUACGAUAGCCGGCGACCACCACCGAAGAAGGAACGGCUCAGCCCCAGAGUCAAAGCAGUCAUCCACCAAACGGAAGGUACGAUACUGAAACAAAAGCCGGACAUGCAGCUCCGAGGAGCUAACGGUGCCGGAAACGACCAGAAACAAAACACUACACUAAACUAGACCGGGCUAAGAGUGAAUCCCGACCGACGACGUGUCUUAAGGAGCCCACCGUCGUCGGUCGGAAACUAACGUCGGAAAUCGAUAAGCUUUGUUCUCUCACUAGACUUUCUCUCUCUCUCGUUUGACUUGAGUUUAUAUAUCCGGUUGUCAAAAAAAACAGUUAUUAGAUAUCUGAUAAUUUUAAACCAAACUUAAUAUAUAAUUUUAAAACAUUUUUUUUUUGAAUAAUAUGUAAAAUGUAUUCAGAAAAAGUUAUGUUUUACAGACUAAGCUACUUGAAAUUUGAGAUUUUUAAAAAUAAACAGAGCACAGAGUUUUCCAAAGCUUCUAUUGUGUGGCAAACCAAGCCUGAAGAAUAGUUCUGUAACGCCGAGCCCUCCUUGAACCCAACAAGAGACACUGGUUUCGAAUCUGUCUAUCAAUAGUCUUGAUCAUUACGGAGGCCAGUGUUGGGGAAUAUCCAUGCCUACGAUUGUUUCGUUCUCUCCAAACUGUGUAGAGGAUCACUUGAAAGCUAUAUCUCAGGAGAUAGAGCUGUAGCAUCGGUUGGGUAUUAUCUGACAGGAACUCAUUGAUAUCUUGCCACCGAGAGGAAAAUCUGGAAGGCAGGAUGUUGCGAGUCAGGUUCUGCCAUAUCUCUAGGGUGUAGCUACAUUCAAAGAACAAGUGUUCUCUGGUUUCCAAUUGAUGUUGACAUAAAACACAGCCAUGGUUUAUUCCAGAAUUCCAGAGGAGCAUUUUGUCUCCAGUGGAUAACGGAUUAUGCAUCGUAAUCCAGACCAUGAAACUGUAUUUCGGGGUGGAGGAAGGGAACCAGACAGUAGAGUACCAGCUAACUUCCGGUUUUGAGUCACGAAUCAGCAGCUAAGUGCUCUUUCUGUCAAACAUUGGUUUGAAAGUGUUCAGAUUGUGUUUCCAUAACACAACAUCUUUUCGAGGAUUCAUUUUGCUCCUCUGUUUAUUCAUUGCUUCCUCAAUCAUAACAUAAAGAUCAUAUCUAUGUCGCCGUGGGCGACGAGUCAUAGCAGAUUCCACCAUUGCGGUAAGAGAGAUUCCCAUUAAAAAGUAGAAACGAUAUAUGUGACUGAAUCCUAAACCUGAUCGAAAACCGAAACCAUAUCAAACUUAUGAACAAGAAAUCAGGUUUUAGUUUGACAACUAUUUUCUUAAAUACUACAUCACCCAAGCUGAAAUAUAUAUAUAUAUGGGUUCAAUGAUACCCAAAAAAAUAUAAUUCACUAUCUUACUAAAAUUCUACACUCUCUCUUCUUUUCUAUUCCUAUCGCUCUCCUCCUCUCUUUCUAAAAAUCUAAUAUUUUUUUUUGUUAUGCCACCAAUAAACCCGCAUAUAUAUAUGGGCAAAUCCCCAAAAUAGUACAUUUCUAAGUUUAUAUCACAAAAAUAUCACUCAAAAACUAAAAUGACCAAAAUAGCAUUUUAUCUUUUGAAAAAUUUAAAUUUUUUUAUUUUUCAAAAUUUGAAAUCUUAUCUCCAAAACCUCACUUCUCAACUCUAAACCCUAAAACCUAAACUCUAAACCCUAAACCCUAAAUUCUAAACCCUAAACCCUAAACCCCACCCCUUGAGUGCUAUUUUUGUGACUUUUGGCAUUGAGUGCUAGUUUGGGGACAAAAACUUGAUUUAGUGCUAUUUUGGUCUUUUUCUAUAUAUAUAUAUAUAUAUAUAUAUAUACAUAUAUAUUAAAUGAGCCUAGUUUUAAGUUUUAACUGGUAUUUUGGAAACAAAAAUCAAUGAGACCUACAUAUGAAUUUUCCGACCACCCAGAAUCAUUAACUUCUUGUAAUGCUCAUCAAUUAUUCAAUAUUCAAAUCAUUUUAGAUAAACAAGUGGUGGUAGCAUAGUGACAAUUUUUUGGGGUUCAGUGUGUGUACCUACAUCAGUUUUAGGUUCGAUUCUCGAUAGAAACUAAAUUAUCAUCACUUAACCGGUCUGGACUUGAGUUUCGGUCCAAGUGGUUUACAUAGUGGAUCAUAACAAAUGAUCGGUUCACUCUUGACAUUAGUCGAAAGAUAUUGUAAACUCAGAUCAGGCAGUGUAGUAGCCAGUCCACUCUGUAGAAGGUAGUGCGUUCCUCCGGAAGCCGACCGGAUCAUACUAUAGAAUUUCUCAAAAGAAAUUUUUUUUUCAGAUGUUUGACUAGCAUAGAGCAUGCGUAUUGCCUAUGGUAAACGGAUGGGCUUACUGAAAAGGAAUUAUGAAUGAUUUGGACCUAUCUUUUGGUUCAGCGAAGAAUACAUAAAAUAAAAUUAAGCCCAACAAUAUUCGUCAAGAAUGAGAAAAAAAAAACACUAAUACCAAAGUAUCGGUGGUUAAUGGUAAUGCAAGAGGAGGUUCGAUUCAUUCUCUUGUACACUGAAUUUAAACUACUUUUAGUAUGAAACUUUUUAAUUUCAAAGAUUAAUUUCCGGCAUGUGAGAGAUUAUGUGUUUAAUGCCCAGAACUUCUAUAGUUAUAAAAAGAAGCCAAUCAUGUAGAUGUAUCAAAAUCACUUGGUGAUUCCAACUAAUAGCCCCAUUAUAAAAUUUUGCAAUAAUACAGUCGAGAAAAAAUAAUUAGUGUUGACUUCCAAAAAAAAAUUAAGGUUGACUCGAACAAUUAUUUUUUAGAUUUUUAGUCAAGAACAAUUUUAAAAGAAAGUAGUGGAUGUCAAGUACUAUAUAGAGUACAUCAGUCAUGUUACUGCGCUCACUAUAUAUGCCACGUCACUAGACUUAUAACCGUUGAUCACCACAUUAACAACUAAUAAAAACAAUACAUGAUUAAUUGGGGCUUUUUGGUAUUUUACUCUUCUUUCUAUCUUGUUGCGGGGAAGUUCAGUCAUAUAGAAGGUCUAAUCACGAACAGUUCCAAUCCCAGCCUGCCUAGGCAUCGACGAAAACAUAUCCAUAUCCCAUGUUAUCGCACUCGAAACCAUGCUAGCUCAUGUUGUUGGUAUAUCACCUUCAACCGCAGGAUCAAAGCCUACUAACUCUGUGUACAUGUUGAUGGUCUAGAAGUAUGCGUCCAUAGCUCACAAGUUCAACACAGAGCGCACUUUGUCAGUAUUUAGUUUUAGUUUAAUAAAUGCGAUAUAUCUGUCUUCAACUUUUUUUGUUUCGAUUUUACUAACUUUUUAUGGCGACAUUUCAUUUUCAUUAGUUUACCAUAUUACAAGUUAUUUUGUGAAUUUUAUCUACAUAUAGCAGCUUCAUGACAAAUUCUAAUUUGGAACAUAAACUCUAAUUUUAGUUUUUUUUUUCUAAAACAUAAAACUCUAAUAUUUACAAAGCUUUUCAAUUGGGCCAACUCAAUUUCACAAAUUAAGAGCCGAUUUCUUUUCUUCAACCGUUGCAGGGAAAAUAUGUUUUAUAGCGUAGACAGACCGACACAAUUUGUUCACCAUAAUAAUCUUAUAAAUCUUUUUUUGGUUAAACAAUCUUAUGAAUCUAUGAUCAAUGUUUAAUUGGACAAGUUCUCGGCAAAACGGGCGCAUUUUAAAACAUAAAAAAUACUGAAAUAGUGGGACUAUAUUUCUGCUAAUCUUUCCCGCCAUGCAUAUAUAUGUUCGGGGACACUGGAAGGAAUUACCGCAAAAUGAAUGAUAUCUUGUUUAUUUUAUUUAAUGAAAAUUAUAAAUUUAUAGUAAAAAUGUGGAAUUCUUUAGAGUAUUUGCAUGUAUGUGUAUACACAUUUCUAUAAUUAUGGAAAACUUAAAGCAAGUUAAUAGAGACUUACUCAUUGAAUUGGGAGUUUCGAGAGGAUAAAAAAAAAUAGAGAGAGUUUUGUGGGGGAAAAUUGUUAGAAAGAAUUAAAAAAUAGAAAAAAAGGAUUCGCAGAAAGAGAGAAGUAAACAAAGAAAAAGGAGAGGAAGGAGAGAGAACCCACCACCCUUUGGCCCUGGAGAGACCAAAGAUGGUCGAAGAGAAAAAACUCUGAGAUCAUCACAGACUCUUCUUUCUAUCUUGUUGCGGGGAAGUUCAGUCAUAUAGAAGGUCUAAUCACGAACAGUUCCAAUCCCAGCCUGCCUAGGCAUCGAAGAAAACAUAUCCAUAUCCCAUGUUAUCGCACUCGAAACCAUGCUAGCUCAUGUUGUUGGUAUAUCACCUUCAACCGCAGGAUCAAAGCCUACUAACUCUGUGUACAUGUUGAUGGUCUAGAAGUAUGCGUCCAUAGCUCACAAGUUCAACACAGAGCGCACUUUGUCAGUAUUUAGUUUUAGUUUAAUAAAUGCGAUAUAUCUGUCUUCAACUUUUUUUGUUUCGAUUUUACUAACUUUUUAUGGCGACAUUUCAUUUUCAUUAGUUUACCAUAUUACAAGUUAUUUUGUGAAUUUUAUCUACAUAUAGCAGCUUCAUGACAAAUUCUAAUUUGGAACAUAAACUCUAAUUUUAGUUUUUUUUUUCUAAAACAUAAAACUCUAAUAUUUACAAAGCUUUUCAAUUGGGCCAACUCAAUUUCACAAAUUAAGAGCCGAUUUCUUUUCUUCAACCGUUGCAGGGAAAAUAUGUUUUAUAGCGUAGACAGACCGACACAAUUUGUUCACCAUAAUAAUCUUAUAAAUCUUUUUUUGGUUAAACAAUCUUAUGAAUCUAUGAUCAAUGUUUAAUUGGACAAGUUCUCGGCAAAACGGGCGCAUUUUAAAACAUAAAAAAUACUGAAAUAGUGGGACUAUAUUUCUGCUAAUCUUUCCCGCCAUGCAUAUAUAUGUUCGGGGACACUGGAAGGAAUUACCGCAAAAUGAAUGAUAUCUUGUUUAUUUUAUUUAAUGAAAAUUAUAAAUUUAUAGUAAAAAUGUGGAAUUCUUUAGAGUAUUUGCAUGUAUGUGUAUACACAUUUCUAUAAUUAUGGAAAACUUAAAGCAAGUUAAUAGAGACUUACUCAUUGAAUUGGGAGUUUCGAGAGGAUAAAAAAAAAUAGAGAGAGUUUUGUGGGGGAAAAUUGUUAGAAAGAAUUAAAAAAUAGAAAAAAAGGAUUCGCAGAAAGAGAGAAGUAAACAAAGAAAAAGGAGAGGAAGGAGAGAGAACCCACCACCCUUUGGCCCUGGAGAGACCAAAGAUGGUCGAAGAGAAAAAACUCUGAGAUCAUCAUCAUCAACAUCCUGCAAAAACAAGGGCAAGUUCAACAAGAAAUCAGAAAAUAUAACUCAAUAUUCAUUAAAAUUCUCUUUAUAAAGUCAUUUUCGCUUCCUGGGAUAUAUUUUAGUUGUUGAUUCCCUUUUUUUUGGUAAACGAUUCCCGAUUUUUUUGUUAAGAAGAAGUUUUUUCUGUAAGGUAAAUUUGUUUUCUUCUGAUUGCAUGUUUGAUUUUUUUAUACAUUGUAUCCAAAAGUUCUUCAUUUAUGAGGGAGAAUGAUUUUUUUUUCUUUCUUUUUGGAAUUUUUUGUGGGUUCAUAUUUUCUUCACGUUGCUUCUUCAAGGGGUUAUUCGUAUUCCUUUUUUAAUUGUUUCAAUACUUUUUGUUCAAAUUUUUGAUAUUUCUUUUGUGUUUGUUUCAUGUCGGCUUUUAGGUAUUAAAAGAUUAACAAGAAGAAGAGAAUUUCACGAGUUGUUGACUCUUGAAAAUUCAUUUUUUGAUGAUUAGGGUGUUGUGCAAUAAAUUUUGCAAACAAUGAGAGACCCUUAUUAUUAUUCAAUCAUCAACCUCGUCCUUCUCUUCUUGCUGAGGAUUCUGUAAAGUUUGCAAUUUUUUUAUUUUAUUUCUGUAUUUGUUUAUUAGAAAAAAAAUCUGGAGAUUUUGUAUAGCACUACCUGAAAUGGGUUGUCGAUGGAAUCCUACUGGAUUUCAAUACUCUUGCCUUAUGUUCUUGGUCAUUACCCUUCAAUCUCGUUCCUCAUUAUCCCUCAACUCCGAAGGUAAAACAUAUCAACAGCCUUUUCUCAAUCUUGUCUUCUUUGGAAUGUUUUUGAUUGAAGUGUUCUUGAAUUUUAUAGGAUUUCUGUUGUUGAAAUUCCAGGAAAGAGUUGAUUCUGAUCCUCAUGGAACUCUUGCGAAUUGGAAUAUUUCUGAUGAUCAUCUGUGUUCUUGGUUUGGUGUAACGUGUGUCGACAAUAAAAUCCAGAUGCUGUAAGUUCCUGUUUUUUUUUUUAAUAUUACGUCUUUGAAAUUCUUGCCGCAGUUUAUGAUGAAUAUUUUUGUUUUGCUUCUGUAGGAAUCUUAGUGGAUGUUCUUUGGGAGGAACUUUAGCACCUGAGCUAAGCCAAUUGAGUGAACUAACAUCUCUGUAAGGGCUGUUUGAAACCUAUCUUCUUGCUCUGAUUCUUGAAGAAAAUAACAAGAACUGAAAACCAAUUCUUUUGUGUAGCAUACUGAACAAGAACAAUCUCUUUGGUGAUAUUCCAAAUGAAUUUGUCACGUUCCCGAGAUUGAAGUUGUUGGAUUUACGAGAUAAUAAGUUAAACGGAGCAGUUCCACCUGAGCUAAACAAGAUGUUGUCACCAGAGAACUUGUAAGUUAAAAGGCUUGUGAUGCUUUUUUUUUUUUGAAUAAAACCAAAUCAAUGGACAAGAGACUAACGUUUUGUUUUUGUUUUUUUUGGUGGGUUCAGGUUGCUUUCUGGUAACAAGUUUGCUGGUUAUAUGAAGAUAAAGUUCCUUAGACUUCAAUCGCUAUAUAAAGUCAACUUGAACAAGCAUCGAGAGCUGUCUUCUGCUUCCAAUGCUGUCUUCGACUGUGUAAAUAGAAAACUUGGAUACUGGUAAAAUGAACUUUCUGCAUUAUAGAUGUUCAGUUGGAGGACUCUUACACAAUGUUUUAAUAAAAACUAUAUCCAUUUGACAGUGUUUCAAGGAGAAGACUGUUAAGACUAAACAAAGCAAAAGCAUUUGUAUUGCGGAUUAAAGCAACUACAAGACAGUACAUGAAAGCAUUUUCCUUUUUCAAAAUAUAAAUUCAAUAACUCAAAUCAUUUUUGUUUGAUUUUUGUAUUAUUUUUUCCUUGCUGAUUUUCUAUGUCUAUGUCUGUUCAGGCUGCUAAGUGAGCCUCAUGGAAAGAAUAAAGUCGUGACUUACAUCCCAAGUAAGCAAAAGAAAAACAACCCAAACUUCUGCUUUUGAAACACAUACGCUAAAUGUAUCUUUUUUAAUGAACUCAUGCUAAAUGUAACUCAAUCUUUAAUUUUAUUUUUCUCUUGUUGGCAGGUUCCAUAGAGAAUGGAUCUAGUAUCUUCAGAAGGCGUGAGUUACUAGAGGGAACAAGUAACUUAGCAGCUAUGCCUGCGCCUGAUGCUCCUAGUCCUUCUCCUCAGAUCAUAACCAACGUGUUUCCUCGAAGCAGCGGGUCUUUUCCUGCGUUGGCUACUGCAAAGAAGAGAAUACCUCCAUUGAUCCCUCCUUCUCUUCCUCCAACAGAUGAGAACAACAACAACAACAUAAGCUCUGAUCCCCCGAGGCAAUUUGAAGAAGAAGAAACAAAAGGGUCUAAGGAUGUUUGGUUAUAUGUUCUUAUCGGGGUUGCUGCUUUUGUAGCGGUGUUGAUAGUAAUAGCUGUUAUAUUCUUCUUCCGGAAAAGAGCAGUAAAGACUAUAGGUCCAUGGAAGACUGGUUUAAGUGGACAGUUGCAGAAAGCUUUUGUAACUGGUAAGAAAAUGGUUUUAAACUUUUUUUCAUUUUGGUUCUGUUUUAGGUUUGACAUAAUGUGAGAAAUGUUUUCCAGGUGUACCAAAGCUAAACCGGUCUGAAUUAGAAACAGCUUGUGAAGAUUUCAGUAACAUCAUUGAAACAUAUGAUGGUUACACUGUCUAUAAAGGAACUUUAUCAAGUGGUGUUGAGAUUGGGGUUGCGUCAACCGCGAUUUUGGAAAGGAGAGACUGGUCAAGAGCCAUGGAAAUGACUUACCGCAGAAAGGUAACACUCUAAGAAUCAUUCAUUUUCGCCUUUUUUGAAGAAUCUUGAUUGAUAUUGGGAGAGCUCAACUUUGCAGAUUGAUACAAUGUCCAGAGUCAACCAUAAGAACUUUAUAAAUCUAAUUGGUUACUGUGAAGAAGAUGAACCAUUUAAUAGAAUGAUGGUUUUCGAAUAUGCCCCAAAUGGAACUCUUUUCGAACAUUUGCAUGGUAAACAUCUAAAAAGACCUUCAUCUUGUGAUAUUGGUUGCUUAUUAGUUAUUAUUAUUAUCAUCAAACCAUGCUCAUCUUGUCUUGUUCAGAUAAGGAGAUGGAGCAUCUUGAUUGGAGCGCGAGGAUGAGGAUAAUUAUGGGAACUGCUUAUUGUCUGCAACAUAUGCACGAGCUUAAUCCGCCAAUGUCACUCUCUAAACUUGCUUCAUCAGCAAUCUACUUAACCGAUGAUUACGCAGCAAAGGUUCUUGCUUCCUUGGUUAACAAGAAACUGUUUCGAUGGCUCUUGAUUGCUUGCGUAAUAAACCACUAAAUGAUUUAUUCUGUUUUCAGGUCGGAGAGGUUCCUUUCGGCUCACAAACUGGACUUAAAUCGAGAAAACCGACAAGUGGUGAUUUAGACAAAUCUUUAUUGCCGUUACCAGCUGAACCAGAGACUAAUGUCUAUAACUUUGGAGUAUUAAUGCUUGAGAUAAUCUCUGGAAAACCCCCAGAUUCAGAUGAGGAAGGAUCAAUUACAAAAUGGGUACUUCAACUCAAAUAUAACAAAAAAAAGGAUCUAUUUUCUUUUGAAAUUGACAUCACUAAUGUAACACUUUUAUGGUUUCUUUAAUAGGCAUCAAAGUAUCUGGAGAGUGAUAAGUUGAAAGAUAUGAUAGAUCCUACAUUAACAACGUUUAAAGAAGAGGACCUAGAAGUUAUAUGUGACGUGGCACGGCACUGUCUGAGAACUGACCAGAGUCAACGACCAACAAUGAAAGACGUGAUUGAGCAACUGAAAGAAGUAAUCAACAUUUCCCCAGAACAAGCUACACCGAGACUCUCUCCUCUUUGGUGGGCAGAGCUUGAGAUCUUAUCCUCUGAAGCUACUUAACCGGAAGAACCAUUCUCUCUCCUCCUCCUUCUCCUCUCUCUCUCUCUUCGAGUUGUCACAAGUGUCAAGAGGUCCAGGUUCUCCCUCUGCUUACAGUAAACAUCGUCGUAUGUAAAAGUUGUUUUCUUUUCUUUUUAAAUUCUUCAUAUUAAAAUUUGUUUCUUGGUUGGUUUUGAUAGUGUAUUUGGAUCCAGAUAAUACAACGAUGCAUGUGUCUGUAUAAUUGUAUUCUACCAUUCAUACCUAUUACAUAUACGUAUUUUAUGGUGAAAUGUUGUUGUAACUAUUAAGUAUUAACUUCGGUUUUCUGAACUAUGCCCUUCUGUGAUAUUUUUUAUUUGUAUGUGAAGUAUUUAUUAUUGAUAGAGGUAUAUGACAUGAGUGUUUGUGGCACUUUGGUUUCCUGUUACAAGUCUCCUAAGCUAAGAGAUUUGAAUAUCAACUUCAAAAUAUUCCAGAUAGAUGUUAUCACUGCUUAGAUUAGUCACAUUGCUUCAGGUCUUGGAAAACCAAUUUUAACUCGCAAACUACAUGCAAAUGGGGAAAACAAUUUUUUUGUUUACAAGUCUCCUAAGCCAAGAGAUUUGAACAUCAACUUCAAAAUAUUCCAGAUAGAUGUUAUCACUGCUUAGUAAUAUUCACAUUGCUUCAGGUCUUGGAAAACCAAUUUUAAGUCGCAAAACUACAUGCAAAUGGGGAAAACAAUUUUUUGUUAAAAUGGAGUUAGAUAAAACCUUUUCAAGGUUAAUUGCAUAUGACGACAAGCAAUAAAAUAUUUACUUCGUUGAAGUUGAAUACAUAUGGAUAUCCCUCCACAAAUGUGAUAGCGGAAAUUUGUGACAUAAAAAGAAAAGAUGGCUUUUCCCACCCAAUGUCUCUGAUAUUACCAUGGGUAAAUAUACACAAGCUUAAGAUGAAAGUUUGAAUGUGGAUAAGUUACAAAAAAAGUUUGAAUGUACCUAUACUUAAUAGAGAAUAUUACAUCUCACCCUUAAUAAUAGAUCAACCUAAAUGUCUUUUAUAUCAUCUCCGAUCCAAAGCCUAUUUCGCCUCUAAAAUGGUCUACAUCUCCUCGGGGCCGGCUGGCUUAGAGCAUGGGGCAAAGGUGCAUGGGCUCCAUUUAAAAAAAAAAUGUUAAAGAGGAGUCCAAUUUUUUUUCCAAAAUAAAUAGAGAUAAAUGCCAAAAAAGGUAAGACACUCCCAUAGGUACAUGUAAAACAAAAUUUGUCCAUGGGCCUAUAUAUACUUUGAACCGGCUAUGCAUCUGCUACUACUUUCACGCGGAAAUAAGGACUGCCUAAAAGAAGUUAGGCUAGUUCUAGAAGAGACGCAAUAAAUCAACACGAAAAAAUAUCAUUUAUUAAUUUAAAAAGGUGUCAUUUUCAUAUUCUAUGUCUAUUUCUAACCAUUAGUAGGAAAUUUUCUUGCUCCAAGUUAUAAAUAGAUUAUGGAGAAAAAUUCAUCCUACAUGGUCAAUAUCGAAAUAAUCAACUCGAAAAUGAUGCUUUAACUGAUCCAUGUAGAGUCAUACCCUUCAUCAAUAAACACGAUCAAGAAAGUGAACUUCAAACAGAAAAGACAAAAACUAAAGGUGAAAAAUCAUUUAAACCAUCCAAACAAUUCAAGAAAUGAAACAGAAGAAAUUAUAUGUCUCUGGAGAUCGUGGUAAUUGAUAAUCUCUAAAUAUUUGUUAGCCUUAUUUUAACUCUAGUAUAAAUCAUUAUUAAGCUCUCUUUCGAUUCCAAAAGUAUUGUAGUAUUUUAGGCUCUAUCAACCUUGGAACACGCUCUACGACUUUUAAACCAUAUAAGCUUACAUUUGAUUUAUUCUAUCGAUUUCUUCUUCUAAACAUAUUAUAGAAAAUAAUAUUAUAGAUAUAUGUACGUAUCACCCAUAUGGGAGUGGAAUUACGUUUGACGAAUUUUGAAAGUCAAGCGGUCUGGAUUCUAAACAAUUCUACCACAGUAAAUCUGGGUGGUCAUAUAAAAUAAAAUUUUACUUUAAAUUUCAUUUGAGUAAGUAGAAAAAAAAAUGAUCCAUAUAAAUUGCACAUUUCACUAAAAAAGAUUAGUAUGACCAUAAGUAUGCAUAUGUAUGCAUCAUAUAUUGUCGUGGUCCAAUAGUUUCCACUCGAAGAGGAAUUGCGCUGUUGGUCCAGACCAUGGAACAAUUCUUCUCUAGUGCUAAAUUAUUAGUUCCAUUGCUUAUAACCUAUUUGAAUACCUAGAAAAAUAGUUCAUAUUUAGAUUGCAUCUCCCCUUGAGAAUUAAUUUGGACAUUUUCAUGGGCAUGGAAUACUCUAAGGUUAAUCAAACAAAAGGACCAUAAGCACCAAAUAUCAUCAAAAUUAAGUUCAGAACAACAAGAUGGGACGGCGAGCUAUUUUCCCACGAGAAGUAUCGUAUAACACCAUAUGUCUCCUAAACUAUGGUCUCAUUCCAGAUGUCUCCAUGAAUUAAAAGUUUGAAAGCUAUUUUUCCAUGAAACUUUAGCUUAACACCUAUCUCUCCAUGAAUUAAAAGUUCAAAAUCUCUGACUCCAGAAAAUUAAAUUACUCGAUUUAAGCCUAUAAAUCUAGACUGUUUUGGUUAAUGAAACUAGUUUUGGACCAAUAUAUGACCAGACUACAUCUAUUAAAUCACAAAUUAAAAACCUAGACCUGAAAAAAUCAUAAGCCCAUGAACCUAGAUCCAAUUUCAUAACCCUAAAUUGAAAGCUGAGAGAAAAAAUUCCCAAAUCAUAGAGAAAAACAGAAGAGAGGAUAGAAGAGAGACACAUAAUUGAAGAUUGAAGAAGGCAGAGUUGAAUGGCGUCUAGUUGUUAUUGCAUUUCAAAAAUAGACCUUUGAAGAUUAUUCAUUGAAAUGCUUAUAAGAAAACAAAAUCCGUUACCAUUUAACUGAAUUCGUAAAUGUUCCACUCAUAAACGAUUAAACAUAGAAAUCAAACCUCAACUCAGAUGAGCAAAAAAAAUUCAUUCUUUUUUUUUUUUUUUUUUUUUGAAUGAAUGUUAAAUUUUAUUCAUCAAAAAAGACCUUUAUACAACUAGUGCAACCUUUAGGCUAUACAUACUUUGUGAUUCCUAUACUUCAAACUUUUCUAAAAAAAAACUUCAAUCUCUAGCUCCAAACCAUGUUUGCAAUCCCCUCUCCAUCCCUUUAACUCUAUUAGCUUGUAAAAUACUCAGCUUGUUCCUCAUUCCCUUGUCAAGAAUUUUCCUUAAAACUGUCCAAGGCAUCAACUUCUCACCAUGCUUAACUCUGUUUCUUUCUCUCCACAAUGCAUACACUACCACUUGAAAUGCAUACCUAAGACAGAAACGCUUCCUCCUUUCCAUACCUCUCACCGUUAACAAGGGAAUUAUAGAUGACCAUAAGUUUGUGUAAGAAUCCCCCAUGAUUCCUCUAGCCAAAUUUUCCCAAACUUGAGAAGAAUAAGAACACGUAAAAAACAAAUGAUCUCUAUCUUCAUCUGCACUCUUGCAGAGCACACAUAUAGUGUCCACACCCUGACUCCAUUUUGCUAUCCUAUCCAUCGUAGAGAGUCUGUUUAAACAAGCCAACCAAGUCAUGAAAGCAAACUUGGGGGUCGCCUGUGAGAACCAAACACCCUGCGUCCAAGUACAUUUCUCCUUCUCCUCUCUAAUCUGCUUCCAAGUCUCGCAAGUCGAGAAAACAUUCUUAUAACCUGACUCUCUUCUCCACUGACUAAUAUCCUCCAUAUCAAUACUCACUCUGUCCUUUAUUUCCCUCAACUCUUCCUCGAUCUCAUUUAAUAUCACCACUCUAUGUCUCCUUCUUCGCCGAAAGCAGAACAUUGCCUCCUCAACUGUGGCUUCUCUUCUAAUACCCAUAUCAAUGUACCCUCUAGCUCCAAGAAGAUCAAACAGAACUCCUUUCUCCGACCAUUUCUCAAACCAGAAAGACGUGUGGCGCCCAUUUCCUAUUUCCUUCCUAUAGAAACUUUUAGCUACCUCCCUUAGUUUCAAUAAUUUUCUCCACAUCCAAGACCCACACUGAGAAUUUAUUUUUACUUCCCAGAAACUCUUAUCCUUCAAGAUGUUAGUUUUAAUCCACUUACUCCACAAAGAAUCUCCAGUCAACAACCUCCAGAUAAGCUUCAAACUACUAACUUUAUUUACAUCCUUUAAAGCUCGUAUACCCAAACCGCCUUCCUCCCUCUCCUUACAAACAUCCCUCCAAGCCACUUUCGCCCCGGUCGUCUUAAGACUAGGCCCCGACCACAGAAAAGCGGAACAAAGCUGUUCGAUUUCUUUAAUGCACUGGCCUGGAAGACGGAAAGCAGCAGACCAGAAGUUCACAAUACUCAUUAGAACAGAUUUAAUCAGCAUAAGUCUUCCUGCAUAAGAGAGAAACCUUGUGGUCCAAGUAUUAAUUCGCCCUCUUAUCUUCUCCACAAGCGGCUGAUAAUCCUGACUUCUCAUUGCCUGAGACAUUAGGGGCAACCCUAAGUAUCUUACUGGCAAAUCCCCUACAGCAAAAGGGAAAUCUGAUAAUAUACGACUCUUCUCCUCCACCGGAACCCCCGCCAUGUAGAUAGUUGAUUUCUCCAAACUGAUUUUCAAUCCUGACCAAGCAGCAAACUCAUCAAACACUGCCAAUGCACCUUCAAUCGAAUCUUUAGAACCCUCCACAAACACCAUCAGAUCAUCAGCAAAACAUAAGUGAGUUAACGAGAGAGAAUGACACCUAGGAUGAAACUUGAACUUCCUCUCAGUAGCCGCUUUAUCAAUCUUCUUUGACAAGAUAUUCAUACAAAGCACAAAGAGAUAGGGAGAUAGUGAGCAACCCUGUCUCAAUCCCCUUGCACUUUGGAAGUAGCCAGCUAAGUCUCCGUUUACCUGAACUGAGAAAGAAGGGCUCGUGAUACACAAGCGGAUCCAGUGCACAUAUUUACUCGGGAAACCCAAAACCUCCAACCCCUUAAGAACAAAAUCCCACUGAACCGAGUCAAACGCUUUUGAAAUGUCGAUUUUCAUCACACACCUUGAAGAAACUGAAGGCUUAUGAUAAUCUCUCACCAAUUCAGAAGCCAAGAGCACAUUCUCCAUAAGCAAUCUCCCUGUGACAAAGGCGGACUGAUUCUCACUAACAAUUCUUGGUAACACCCGCUUCAAUCUGUUAGCCAAAAUCUUCGAAACAACCUUGUAUAAGACAUUACAACACGAAAUUGGUCGAAAAUCUUUCAUCUCCAUUGAGUCAAUCUUCUUUGGGAUCAAAGCAAGGAUCGUGGAAUUCACACCUUUUGGGAGGAAUCCAUACUUGAAAACAGACUGAACCGCCACCACGAAAUCCUUACCAAGAACUGCCCAAGUAGUUUUAAAAAAUUCGCAGGGGAAUCCAUCAGGCCCAGGGGACUUGUUGCUUGGCAUAGCAAAUAAUACCUUUUGAACCUCAUCACUCGUUACCUCAGCCUCUAACAUAUCACAAUCCUCCAUGGAACAUCGAAACUCUAAAAGAUCACGAAGCUCGUCCUCCGUAGCACCAACAUACUCUGAUGGCUUCAUAUUCAUAAACUCAGAGAAGAACCGCUCCGCUUCUUGUUUGAUAUCCUCAUGUUUGGUAAUAAUACUACCAUUCAAACACCUUAUCUCACGAAUCAGGUUCUGAGCAUACCGACUUCUAAUAGCAUUGUGGAAGGUCUUAUUGUUCUGAUCUCCAACCUCCAACCAGUGCAGCUUUGCCCUCUGUUUAAGAAAAUCCUCUUCCAAACUUGCAAUAUGCAACCAUUUCUCAUACGCUACCGCCUCCUCUUGAGCUGCACCUUCACAAGGAUUAGCUAAAGUGCUUCGCUGCUUAUCACAUAAUUGCUCAUGAGCCUCUUUAGCACGCUUAGUUAAAUUUCCUAGCCCUUUACGACCCAGCUCUCUAAUAUGCGGUUUCAGAUUCUUCAAUUUCUUGGAGAACCUAUACAUAGCCGAGGUGGAGUGAAAUAAAACCUCUGUAGUCUGCCAAUACUCCUCAAUCAUGGGCUGAAAACCUGGUAACCUUCCAACUGCAUUUACAUACUUGAAAGGACGUCUAAUCUGUUCUUGAGGCGGCCACAACUGAAUCAUACAUCGCAUAUGAUCCGAGCAUCCUCCCGGUUCAAAAACAGAGUAAGCUGUAGAAAAUUUUAGCAGAGCAGCAUCAUUCAUAAGCACUCGAUCAAGUUUCUUACAGAUAAUCCCCUCAUCUUGCUUAUUACUCCAAGUAAAGCGAGGUCCUUGGUAACCCAGAUCAGACAGAUGACAAUGCAACACCAUACGCUGAAAGUCUCUCAUUCCCCUAGGUAGUCUUUCUAAACUUGAAAAUCUUGAAUUCUCCUCCCCAUCCAAGAUCUCAUUAAAAUCUCCCAUUAUCAUCCACUCCUUAUUUUUAAACAUAGCCGAAUCAUGAUGGUUGCAAAGAUCAUCCCACAACUCUUUCCUUCCUUCCACCUGAUUACUAGCAUAGACGAAAGUACACAAAAACUCUUCUUUAUUCUCUACCCCCACUGAGCACGUUAUCAGUUGGUCUGACUUAUACACAGGGGUCAUACGAACCUCAUCCCUCCAUAAAACCCAAAUACGACCUCCACUACUACACUCAUAAUUCAUCAUACUCGACCAACCUUUAAAAACCUCCUUUAUUAUUCUUUCUGCUUUACUUUCCUUCACCCUUGUUUCCAAUAUGCACCCAAAUUUCACCUCUUUAUUACUAAUCCACUCCUUGACUACAGAUUGCUUUAACGGCUUGUUGAAACCUCUCACAUUCCAAAAAAAGCUCGCCAUAUCAGUAUUUUCGAUAUGUCUCUGGAGAUCGUGGUCUUCAGAUUUACAUCCGAAGCUUUAGUCUUCUGAACAUUCCUCACCCCUUUUUGUGGCAUCACCUUUUCCUUACUCCUACUCUGUUGAGCAAGAAUAGUAUCCUCAAGAUGAUCCGCCUCUGAAACUUGUAUAACGUCAUCCACCUCCAAGAUAUCCUCUUCAGUCUCAUCCUUCUCCCCUACCUCCUCUAUUUGAAUUUCACCUUCUUCCAUCUCUUCAGCCUCAUCCAUACUCAGAACUGAGAACUUAGAAGUCGAAACCUGAAUAUCAGGGGCUUGCUUUGGUGAUUGAGUCCUCCCAACUUUCGUUGGUGAAACUAAAGACCAAGCAGAACCUCCAAUAUCUUUUUUUCCUACUUCCUCAUUCUUUUCCACAUCUUCUUUUUCCCUCUCUUCCUCUCCUCCUCUUUGGAUAUCCUCAUUACUUUCUUUUCCAUCUUCUUUAGUCUUUUCACCACUACCUCCCUGAGCAUCAGCUUCCUCAUUUUCCCUUCUCACUUCUUUACCAUUCUUAACACAAAUCUUAUCUGUAUGGCCCCAUUUCCCACAAUGAUUGCAUUUCGAUGGAAACCAUGGGUAAUGAAACUCCACUGUGAACUCCUUUCCAUUUUUAGUGAAAUCAACUUCCUUCGGCAAUGUCUUUGAUACAUCCACAUUCACAAAAACUUUAGCAACCUCCAGAUUAGAACACGCAAUGGUCUCUGGAUGCAACCUAUCCGGAAACCCCACAGUGCUUGUCAUGAAGCUGAUGCCCUGCCAAGAGUACAUAUGGAGCGGAACCUUUUUUAGGUGAAUCCACAUUGGAAUCGAAGUCUCCUCCUGUUUCUCUUCCUCCGUCUUUGGAAUCCAUUUUGUAACCACCAUAGGAACCCCCGCAAUAAUCCACAUACCUCUCUUAAGAAUCUUCUCCCGAGCUUUGAGAUUUGAAAUCCUAAACCUCAUCGUUGUCGCAUCUUCCUCAUAGACAUCCACUUUCGAAUCCAAAUCACCAUACUUCCAUAUUUUAUUGACCACCAUAUGAACUUUCGCCAUGUGAGGUGCGAGAUCCAAAAACCUACCAACCACAAAAUCAUCCCAGAGUGGCGUUGAAUCAACAAGCGCCUCAUCAGGAAUCAUCACCUUAUGCUUCCCAUCUUGAGUCGAUACCUCAACUUCAUACUUCUUCAAACUUUUCUUAUCUUCCGCCACAACUACCCAACUCUUCACAUUCUUCGAUCCCAAACUUUCCUUUUGCUUCUCGACCACCACAGCACUCGUAUCCUCAUCCAGACGCCCCGAAACUAUCCCCAGAGGGCGUAAAUCCCCCGGCGGAUUAGCCUCAUCCAUCACGCGAAACUAGAUCUCGAUCGCCAAAAGAAUCGCCUCAGAAUCGCCCUUUUGGAAAACGCAGCGUUUUCAAUUGUUACUGUCUUCACCUCAAAGAAGUGAUGAAGAGCAGUCAUUUUAAUAGCACUUGGCUUCAAGCUCUUGAUCCCUCAGCCGUGGCAAAUGCUCUAGCUACACUUGUUAUAAUCGGGACCUUGUAGGCUAGAGCCAUAUGUCUAAGCUGUCUUCCAUCCUUCUGAUCAAGAUCACCGCCUGAGCUUGUGAUCAACAUCAGAUGAAUCUGACCAUUAGCCACCACAUCAACUUCAACACUCUGUCCAAAUGAAACAUAAUUUAAAAUGUCAACUAAAAACCUAUUUACUACCAUCAUCCCUCAAUUUCAUCAUUAACCUCAGCCACUGUCUUGUUAGAUUCCAUCUUCCUUUAAAAAUUGCUACUAAAAAUCACAACAACUCAAAUAACAACCAAUCAUUAGAAUCUGAAGGAAGAAAGAACAAAUUAUAAUUGUGUGAUUGUUGGCACUGGUGAAGCAAAUUAAGAAAUACAUUUCUUAUUUUCUCAAUGUAAUAUAAUAGCAGUACAUAAGGAAUACUCCCGAGAUUUAAAAAACACGAGUUACGUCCAAUACUUCGAAAUGCUGCUCUUGUCGUUCAUUUCUUGCAGUGCUUUUUUUUCUUUUAACGACCCUUAACAUCCUCAAUUCUUGUAAGCUUUUCUUCUUUCUCUUCUUUUUCUACAUAUAUAUCAAUGUAGAAGGCGAAACUUAUGAAACUAAUCAUUUUGCAGCAUAACAUGAAUAGUAACUAAUGAAUCUAUAAUGGUAGCCACAGAAAAUUCUCCCAUCACCAUGUUCUUCAACGAUUUUUCACCAGAGUCAGCUCAUCAGACAGAGUUCAAGUCGCCAUGUUCAUCUUCCCCCUUUUUGACUGUGAAGAUAUGAUGUUGUUGGAAUCUGUAGUAUAUCGACAGUAGCAUAAGGCCACUGAUCCCAAUGGAGACAAUUAUGUAGGAUCAUUGAUAAAUACAGAGUUAAGUACUUAAAUGCAUGCUGCUAAAAACAGUGAAAUGUUUAGAGAAUUUCAGUGUGCCGUGAAUUUCUUGUAUAAAGAAGGAAGGCAAACCAUGUCUCAGUUAAGGCCAAUACUUUAUUCCGAACAAUGAAUCAGUUUUCAUACUUUUUAAUUCUAAGAAAUCAAAACCCAAAGUACUUUGCACACACACAACACAAAUAAUAGAUUGGUCGCCUCCUCUAAUUGGAAGAAACGAUUUAUAUAGGAGAAGAUAUGUAGGGAGGUGAAACAAAACCAUAAAAGAAAGAUAGAAAACGAAGAAGACAAAGUGUGUGCGCCAUUUCUUGAAGUGGGCUUGACUGGGCAAUUAGGAAAUAUCAUAAGCCCACAUGAAAGUUUCGGUAUUUAUCAUUUUGGAACAAAGCUCUUAUGACGUGGCAAUUCAUCACUCUCUAAUUGGUCUGAAUUUCCAGGCUGACGUAGAUAUAGCCUCAAUAUGUAGCUCAAGAACUUUUUUUUAUAGCUCAAGAAUUUAUAGUAUUGUAAGAUACAUGCAUAAAUAGAUACGUUAUAUAGACACAUUAUGUAGUACUAAAAUUUAUGUCGAAACUAUGAAAAUACGGUUCUAAAAAUGUUUUAUAUGCAUCAUAUAUUGACACAAACAUUUUGAACACAUAUAUAAAUUAACUAGAAUCAUUUUAAACAAAAUUGAUCACUACGCCAACAACUUCUCGAAAGAUGAACAACACUGGAAAAAAACAGUCGAAAUUAAAGUUAUUUAAAAAUAGUCCAAAGAAAAUUUUAAUACAUCAUAUAUAUUUUUUUAAAUUCAUGAUUCCUCCGCCAUUUAUUUCAAAUCAAGACAUGUCAUGCGUCAACUCUUUCACCAUCUCAAGAUUUAUGGGCAGCCACUGAAAUAUAUUCCUUCAGUUUCUAAUUAAAUGUUAUUAUAAUAAACGUUUCAUUAUAAAAUAAAUAUCAUGUCAUAUUUUUAAUAUAAUUUUACUACAGUUUUAUUAUUUUAUUUCUUAAUAAAAAGAAGAAAUAAUUUAGUAUUUACACGUCAAAUUUGAAAUAUAAAUUAAUAGUAAAUAAUUAAAUUAUAUAUUGGAGAUGGCAAAAAGUUUUAUUUUGGAAUAUUUAAUAUUUAUCAGUCUCAUGAAUUUAGAACAUAGCUCCAAAAUUAAAUUUUGGAAUCUUAAAAAUUUUUUUAGAAAUACUAUUUUUAUCAACUUCUCCUUCACUAUAAUUAAGAGCCUAUAAAAAUCACAUAUAGAUACAUGUAUUAAGGGGCGCCCACUUCAAGCAAUAUUCAGAGCCACACAAAUCUAGAUUUUUGCCCUUGAGUCUUUUUUAGAAAUACUAUUUUUAUAUAUGCAGAUUUUGAGACUCAAGAAAAAAACAAUUAAAAUUUAGUGUGGUUUUCUCCUCUCAUGAACAUUUCCAGAAUCUGAGCUCUCUCUCUUCUAAUGGAAGAAGCAGCAUACCCAAACAAAGUUAUUCAACAGCUUUUCCUCUAUUUUUCAUCAAGUUAGAUUGUUCUUUAAAAAAACAAACUCGAACCAAUGGAUAAAAAAGGCAUUGUGCUGAUGAAAAGGUACGAAUUAGGCCGUCUUCUAGGGAAGGGAACAUUCGCGAAAGUGUAUCACGCACGCAACCUAAAAACGGGUGAAAGCGUAGCGAUCAAGGUAAUCGAUAAGGAGAAAGUCACAAAAGUUGGAUUGAUCGAUCAAAUCAAACGAGAAAUCUCGGUGAUGCGUCUCGUUCGUCACCCAAACGUCGUGUUCCUCCACGAAGUCAUGGCGAGCAAAACAAAGAUCUAUUUUGUGAUGGAGUACGUUAAAGGCGGUGAGCUUUUCAACAAAGUCUCUAAAGGAAAGCUUAAAGAAGACAAUGCUAGAAAAUAUUUCCAGCAACUGAUUGGAGCAAUCGAUUAUUGCCAUAGUCGCGGAGUUUACCACCGUGAUCUCAAGCCAGAGAAUCUGCUUCUAGACGAAAAUGGCGAUUUGAAGAUAUCUGAUUUUGGGCUCAGCGCGUUGAGAGAGUCGAGGAAACAAGAUGGCUUGCUUCACACGACAUGUGGAACACCUGCUUACGUGGCGCCUGAAGUGAUCUGCAAGAAAGGUUAUGAUGGAGACAAAGCUGAUGUUUGGUCUUGUGGAGUUGUGUUGUAUGUGUUGUUGGCUGGUUUUCUUCCGUUUCAUCAACAGAAUCUUGUCGAAAUGUAUCGGAAGAUCAAGAAUGGGGAAUUCAAAUGUCCAAACUGGUUUCCACCUGAGGUCAAGAAGCUAUUAUCUCGAAUUCUUGAUCCUAACCCUAAUUCAAGAAUCAAGAUUAACAAAAUCAUGGAGAAUUCUUGGUUUCAAAAGGGUUUCAAGAAGAUAGAAACUCCUAAUUCGCCUGAUAGUUAUCAGAUCGAAUCGCUAAUCAGUGACGUGCAUGCAGCAUUUGCGGUACAGCCGAUGUGUUACAAUGCAUUUGACCUAAUCUCCUCUUUAUCUCAAGGAUUUGAUCUCUCGGGAUUGUUUGAGAAAGAAGAGAGAUCAGAAUCGAUGUUUACGACAAAGAAGGAAGCGAAGGAGAUAGUGUCGAAAUUCGAAGAGAUUGCUAUGAAUAGUGAGAGGUUUGAUUUGAAGAAGAGUAAUGUAGGAGUGAAGAUGGAGGAUAGAAGAGAAGGAAGAAAAGGACAACUCGCAAUUGAUGUUGAGAUAUUUGAAGUGACAAAGAGUUUUCAUAUGGUUGAGUUUAAGAAAAGUAAAGGUGAUACAAUGGAGUAUAAACAGUUUUGCGAUGGUGAGCUUAAGCCUUCGUUGAAAGAUAUUGUUUGGAAAUGGCAAGGAAACAACAAAAAUACCAAUGAGAGUGUUGCAUAAUGUGAUAAAAUGUGUUUUUCCUAUUUGACUUCCUUUAAUUCGAGUUUUUUUGAUAUUUGUGUGUACUAUCUUUGAGAUCUAUGUAAUGGAUUCGCUGCAGUUAUCAUCACAUAUCUAGAUUUUUUGUUUGUUCCAUAUAUACACAAAUUUCAAAAAUAUAACAAUGUAAUAAAAAGACAAGUAAAAAAAAACAGUAAAACAAAAUUAGUUUUUUGGUGGUCUAAAUCGUUUAUAUAGAUAAGAUGGUCUUCCGUUCUAUAAGCUUAAUCGCAAAAUAAUAACUUGACCUAUGGGGCUGGUCACAUUAUACUGAUUGAUCUGUAAUUAUCUUGAAAGCUCUUGUGAUCAGUAUUGUGAAAGGGAAUAAAAGAUCAUGACACUGAAGAAUGAAAAUUGUGGUUCUCAUGUAAUGUCUUGAGACUGAAGAAUGCAACAAAGAAUUCAUUUGAAAAGGUUGAGUAGAUUCUGCCGUCGAGAUAGAAAAGCUUCAAAUGUAAAAGCUCAGCGAGAAUUGGGAUCUUAGCAUCUGGUUCAUGAAGUAACAUGGUGUUUAGAUAGAUUUGAAUGCUAGGGUACUCAUUGGAGUGUGAUUGUGGUGAUUGGGUCUUCUCUGUGAUACCACAAGAAGGUAACCUCUGUUGCUCACAUAGGAUGAAGCUUGAGAAUUGCCUAUGUGAGUCAGAUACUGGCAAUCUUAGUAGACCGAAAAAUUUGUCGGAGAAUUUAGAGAUUAUGGUUAGAGAUGAAUCAAGUUUAGAGCAUCUCCAAAAAAAACUCAAUAACUUCAAAAUAUAGAGUUUUUUGUUCUCCAAAAAAGAAUUUCAAAACUUCAAGAUAUGAAGUUUCACUUCUUAAAACUCUAAAUUUGAAGUUUCAUCUUUUUAUUUGCAUCUUGGUCUUUAUAAUUAAUUAUACAUCUCAUUUAUCAUCUUCUAAUUCUUAAAAUUUUGUAUAUUUUUAAAUAUUUCAAAUUUAUUUUUAUAAAUUUAAAAUUUACACAUAAAAUUAAAAGAACUAAAAUAGGAUUUAUAAUAUUUUAAAAGUAGUAUUAGACAACAAGAAUAUUACAAAAGAAACUUAAUUGUUUAUAAAAAAAAUAAAGAUACAUGCAGACAUAAUUAUUACACAAAUUUAAAUAUUACAACAACACUAGUAGUCUAAUAAAUUUUCUCCGGAACUUCUAAAAUAUUGUCCAAACAAAUUUUUGUAACCGAAAAUGAAGCAUUAAGAAAAUAAUUUUAUGUAAUAAUGUGAUAUUUUGUUUGUAGUUUAAUAUUUAAUUAUGUAUUUAUAUUUAUAUAACCCAGUUGCAAAAAUGCAGAUUACAUUCCAGCAAAAUUCAUGUAAAAGAUGCUUUCCUUAGUGACGUGAAAAUAUGCUUUUGCACCUUUUCCAACUAUAAAUCUCGAUCAAUGUCUAAGUUCCUAGAACACAAUUCACAGUCUUCUUUAGAAUCCAAAUCGUAAGCCACUUCUAACCUUUUUAGAUUACAUAUGUAAUACGUAUGCAUAUACAAACAAUUACAUACAAACACGGAACCAUGCAUUCAAGAAGAUAAUUACAAUUUUCUUUUUUGUUCAAAUGAUAAUCACAUGCAUGCGAACACUUGCAAGUUCAUUUCCAUACUGCAUGUUUCAUUUUUUUUUAAUUAGCUUUUUUUUUUGUGAAGAUUGUUCGAAGAUAAAAUCGAAGAUGGCAACAAAAUCCAUGGGAGAUAUCGAGAAAAUAAAGAAGAAACUAAACGUGUUGAUCGUCGAUGAUGAUCCACUAAACCUUAUAAUUCAUGAGAAGAUCAUCAAAGCGAUAGGGGGUAUUUCACAGACAGCAAAUAACGGCGAGGAGGCAGUAAUCAUCCACCGUGACGGCGGCUCAUCUUUUGACCUUAUCCUAAUGGACAAAGAAAUGCCCGAGAGGGAUGGAGUUUCGGUACAAUUAAUUAAUAAUCUUAGUCUAUGGAAAUAAACAGAUUAUUUAAUUAACCUCAUGGCUAAUAUCCUUGUCACUUUCUUAUGUUCUUUAUUUUGUUUGUUUUAUUUAGACAACUAAGAAGCUAAGAGAAAUGGAAGUGAAGUCAAUGAUUGUUGGGGUGACUUCACUGGCUGACAAUGAAGAGGAGCGCAGGGCUUUCAUGGAAGCUGGACUUAACCAUUGCUUGGCAAAACCGUUAACCAAGGACAAGAUCAUCCCUCUCAUUAACCAACUCAUGGAUGCUUGAUGGAUAUAUAUUUAAUUUAUAUUAUGGAAACACAUAAUAACGUCUAAGUGUGUAUGUAUGCAUAGAUACUUGCAUGUGUGUGUUUUAGAAUUUAGGGUUCUUUAUCGUCCGUGAUAUAUAAUCAUGUAACCUGUUGCUUUAAGCUUAUAAAAUAUUAAAAUAAGGGUUUCCUCUACCAGAAAAAGUAAAUAUACAAUUUUCAUUUUUCAUUUUAUUAAAUAAAUAGAUACUUCGACCAUUUAAGGAAUCCACCAUUUAAGUGAAUACAUAUAUAUAUAUCUAUCUAUCUAUAUUAUGAUCAUUUCUAUCUUGUUAUAGCAAAAAACAAUUAAACCACUGAUUACAAAAAAAUUAAACCAAAAUAUUAAACUAGUUCUCAUAAGUCAUUUAUAAAUGUUUAAGAAUAAUUUAUAAAAUAUUUAUAGAAGUUUAUAAGCCCAACUCCACCCAAUAAAUACUAGACCAUAAACAACUGUCACCAAAAAUUAAACCAAAAUAUUAUAGUAUUUUUGAUUGAGUGUAUAUUUGAAAAGUAGUAACCAAUUAAAAAUAUUUUAAACAAUUUCUCAAAUGACAUAAAUGUAAAUGUUUAUGUCGCGUUUAGCUAUAAAGUUAUGUCAUAAUUGUUAAUAGUCUAUGGAUCUUUUUUUUUUUUUUUUUUUUUNNNNNNNNNNNNNNNNNNNNNNNNNNNNNNNNNNNNNNNNNNNNNNNNNNNNNNNNNNNNNNNNNNNNNNNNNNNNNNNNNNNNNNNNNNNNNNNNNNNNNNNNNNNNNNNNNNNNNNNNNNNNNNNNNNNNNNNNNNNNNNNNNNNNNNNNNNNNNNNNNNNNNNNNNNNNNNNNNNNNNNNNNNNNNNNNNNNNNNNNNNNNNNNNNNNNNNNNNNNNNNNNNNNNNNNNNNNNNNNNNNNNNNNNNNNNNNNNNNNNNNNNNNNNNNNNNNNNNNNNNNNNNNNNNNNNNNNNNNNNNNNNNNNNNNNNNNNNNNNNNNNNNNNNNNNNNNNNNNNNNNNNNNNNNNNNNNNNNNNNNNNNNNNNNNNNNNNNNNNNNNNNNNNNNNNNNNNNNNNNNNNNNNNNNNNNNNNNNNNNNNNNNNNNNNNNNNNNNNNNNNNNNNNNNNNNNNNNNNNNNNNNNNNNNNNNNNNNNNNNNNNNNNNNNNNNNNNNNNNNNNNNNNNNNNNNNNNNNNNNNNNNNNNNNNNNNNNNNNNNNNNNNNNNNNNNNNNNNNNNNNNNNNNNNNNNNNNNNNNNNNNNNNNNNNNNNNNNNNNNNNNNNNNNNNNNNNNNNNNNNNNNNNNNNNNNNNNNNNNNNNNNNNNNNNNNNNNNNNNNNNNNNNNNNNNNNNNNNNNNNNNNNNNNNNNNNNNNNNNNNNNNNNNNNNNNNNNNNNNNNNNNNNNNNNNNNNNNNNNNNNNNNNNNNNNNNNNNNNNNNNNNNNNNNNNNNNNNNNNNNNNNNNNNNNNNNNNNNNNNNNNNNNNNNNNNNNNNNNNNNNNNNNNNNNNNNNNNNNNCUAUUAUUCAACCGGUCCUGGACAAAUCCAAAAACCUGUAUCUUGGACCCCCCAAGACUUUCCGGCAGACCCAAAUAUGAUCCCAUCCCUCCUAAAUUAUGUAUCCCUAGGAUGUCUCUCAAUUCCUGUCUCGUGGUCUCCUCAAUUUUAUGUCCAAAUUGAAUCGAGGAUUUCUGAAAAUUAAUCUGUUGGCCCGAAACCACCUCAUAUUCUUUCAAGAUCCUAAGGAUAGUAUGACAUUCUUCCUUCUGUGCCUUACAGAAAAAAGAUUAUCGUCUGCGAACAACAUAUGAGAAAUCGAAGGGCAAGCUCUUGCAACCUUCAUUCCUGUGAAUUGAUUACCUCUUUCAGCCUUCUUAAUAUUUGCAAUCAAAGCCUCAGUACACAUGAUAAAUAGAUAAGGGGAUAAGGGAUCCCCCUGGCGUAAACCUCUUUGAGGCACUAUAUGUCCACGCGGCUGCCCAUUCAACAAAACAUGGUAUUGAACCGAUGAUAUACAUUCCAUAAUUAAUUUAACCCAAUGCGGAUCAAAACCCAUCCUGAGAAGUAGCGCUUGAAUAAAACUCUAUUCCACCCGAUCAUACGCUUUGCUCAUAUCCGUCUUAAUUGCCAUAUAUUUACUUUGGCAAGCCUUAUUAGUCCGCAGUCCAUGAAACAUUUCCUGAGCAAUGAGAAUAUUAUCUGAAAUCAACCUUCCUGGCACAAAUGCAGAUUGUGUCUCCGAUAUUAACUGUGGGAGACAUAAUUUCAAGCGCUGGCAUAAGACUUUCGAAAUAAUCUUGUACCCUACAUUACACAAGCUAAUUGGCCUCAACUCUGACAUCCUUGUAGGCCUUUCCGUCUUCGGGAUCAUACAUAAAGACCCAUAAAUAAAGUAAAAAAAACCCAUAAAUAAAGACCCAUAAAUAAAGUAAAAAACUAGGUAUUUUUUCCGUGCUCAUGCACGGAUAUAAAUAUUUCUAAAGUAAAUAUGCUAUAAUAAUUGAUUGCUAUUUAUUUUAAUUUUAAAUUAAUUUAUAAUUUUUAUGCAUCAUUUAUAUUUCUAAAGUACAUAUGAUUUUAUAUAUGUUAUUUCUAAUCGGUUUUGUUGUUUUUACGGUCGAUUUAGUUAUCAUUUGAGUAAUUGGAUUGCAUCUUUGAAUUCAACUGUAAUAUUUUUUAUUUUAAUUAUUCUAAAAUUUUGAUUAAUUUCUUUUCAUUUAGGUGGUUGUUGUCUUAAAUAUAUAGAUAUAUUUUAUGAAGAUUAUGUAAAACUUAAGAUAUAUUGUGCUUAGAAUUAAAUAAAAAAUAAACUAAAGUGUCUUAUUCUAAAUGACAUAAAUUAAUAUAACGAUAAUAUUCUGAAGUCUCAUGCAUAUAUAUAAAUUUUACAAAAUAAAUAAAUUUUGCAGUUGGUUAAUAUUUUAUUUUCAUUUUAAUAUGUUUUUAGUUGUCCUAUAUAUUUAUAAAAUAAAUUACUAUUCUUAGAAAAUUGUAUAUUCUUAUCGUAGUUAAAUCUAUGAUUUUAGAUAAAAGUUGAAUUAGUCGAGUCACCCAUGUUGUGAAUAUAUUGAGUUACAUAUAUUUUUUUUAAAUUCAAAAUGAAAUAAAUUUUUUUUUUAUUAAAGUUAAGUCAAGUCAAAUCAAUUUUAUUCAUCGUUUAAAUGUGAAUGUAUUUUCAUAACAUUAAUCAAAUUAUAUAUUGAUGUUUUUAAAAAUAUAUUAAAAAAUAAAGCGAUGAUCAAUAAGAAAUUACAUGCAUAAGUAGCUGAUACAUUUUUGAAAGCUCAUGAACAUAUAUCAAUAUUUACAAUAAUUUAUAUAUUUUAUAAAUACUAAAUAACUUUAUGCCUUUUAUUUAUUGAAUGGAAACUGAAAUUUAUUUUAAAUAAUCUUAAAAUUGAGAAUUCAUAUUUGAUGUGAUAUUUUGAUUAUGGUUAUAUUAUGUUCCACAAACAUAAAAACAUAAAAUGUAAAAGCAAAUUUAAUAUUAAGAAAAAAAUAACUCUAAUAAUGAUAAAAUAUAAUAUACCUACCUCAUUAAACUAUUUUGUAACUAUUUGAUCAAACAAUGUUUAUUUUUAGUUUUUUAUUAUCUCAUAAAAUAAGCAGUAAACAAAAUUGUGAUUAUAUUUGAAAAUAAUAUUAUUUAAGUAAAAUAUAAUUUAUCAAAAAAUUAUUUGCUGUAAUUGAAAGAUAUUACAGUCAACUAAAUAUAUGAAAAAUAAAUAAAAGAUUUCAAUAAUACUAAUUAUAAACUAUUUUUAGUGAAUUAAACAUAUAUCAAUUUAUGUUACUUAAUUAUUUUAUGUAAAUAUCUAAUAAAAUAGAUAGAUAUAUAAUUUUUUUUUAAUGAAAUAAAAAUAGUUUUUAAAUGUAAUAUUACUAUUUUGUGAAUUUUCCUUUUUUUAUGAAAUAAUAUUAUAUAUACAUAUAUUUUCGUUUUUCAAUUCAUUUUUUUACUUUAUAAAAAAUGUUUCCUUUUUUUUUAUCAUAUGUAUAUGUUUUUUGGAAAAUUCUAAAGAGGAAACUAAAUAAAAAAAAGUAAAUAAUAGUAAAUAAAUAAUAGUAUUUUAAAUGAAAUAUUUUAAAUUUAUUAAGGGUAUCAUUAAAUUUAUUAAGGGUAUCAUUGUAAUCAACCACCGUGAAAGUUAACGUGAGCACGACACAUUGGAAACUAACUUCUCAAAUUAUAUUAUGGAGAUCACUUAACAAACAAAGAACCGAGACAAAGCUAUAAACAGAAUUGGUGAAUGGUAAAAGAUAUUUCAAAAUUAGUUUUUUUUUUGUGUGUAAGGAGUUAUUGGAUGUGAUUGGUAAGAGCUGUGAUUUUCUCUUUUUUUUUGCUGUAAAAAAAGUUGCUGUGAGCUUUAAGAAAAUAUAAAUCAAGAUUGACGUAGAUUUAGAGCUGUGGGUAUAAUUGUGGCUGUGGAGAGCAACUACAUCAAUAGCCAAUCAUACCCAUUACUAAUGACUAAGAGCAUCUCCAAAAGUAUCCUUUUGAGGGUGUUCCUCUCCAAUGAUAAACCUUAAAACAAACUUUAAAAGUUUUAGAUUUUUACAUUAUAGUCUUUACUUUUGAAAAAAAUCAGAUAAAAACAUAAAUUUUUUAUAACAACUAAAAACAUACAAUAAAAAUAUUACAAACAAAAUUUAUAAAUAAAAAUAUUACAUUCUAAUAGCAAACCAUAUAUAAAUAAAAACUUACAAACGAAAUCACUUUUCUAAAAAUAUAUAGUUAUUCAUUAUUAUAUUUCAAUAAUGCUCCUCUACAUGAUUAAUUAGUGCAUUUUGAAGUUAUAAGUGACAAUAUAUAUUUAUUUAAAGUAUAUGUAAAAGUUAAAUUUAUAAGAACAUAUAUAAAAGAUAUACAAUUGUAUGGACUAAAAUGAUAAAGAAAAAAAUUAUCAAGACUAUUUAAAAGACAUAUAAUUACAAGGGCCAGAAAAAUGUGAAACCCAGAUAUAAGGGUUUAUACAGUAAAACUUCAUAUAGUUAUUAUUGGAGAUGUUCUCAAAGGCCAUAUAAGAAUUGGAAUCUAAGUUGAUGGUAUAGCCCAUGGGCUUUGCAACUGUGGCCCAUUAUAGUUUAAAGAAACCCUAGUUCCGUCCCCUAUAACUCAUUUCUCUUCCCACUCGACGCAGCUUCGCUUCCGCAACUCUCUUUGCUUCCUAUCUCUCAGCUCGAUUGUCGAUCUCCUUCAAAUGGUAUUUCCCUCCCUUGUAGUUCGAUUUAAAUGGUGAUGUGUUAUGUUCGAUGGAUUCAUGAAUCAAAAUUUUGUGCUUUUUUUUUGUAGGCGUCGGAGAAGAAGCUGUCAAACCCAAUGAGGGACAUUAAGGUCCAGAAACUUGUUCUCAACAUCUCCGUUGGUGAGAGUGGUGAUCGUCUCACUCGUGCCUCCAAGGUCAGUUUCUUUUCUUUUAAAGGAACUUAAGUAAGAAUCCGUACUUUAGGACAGUGCGUGUCUGAAUCGUUGUGUUUGGUCAUUAUUAGGUUUUGGAACAGCUAAGCGGACAAACCCCUGUUUUCUCAAAGGGUAUGUGAUUGUGUUCGUCUAAUGAAUCUUUUUUUCUUUAUAGUUUAAUUUUGAUUUUAGUUUUUGUUGAUCAUAUUUAUUGUUUUUGUGUAACAGCGAGGUACACAGUGAGGUCUUUUGGUAUCAGGCGUAACGAAAAGAUUGCGUGCUAUGUCACUGUGAGAGGUGACAAGGCAAUGCAGCUUCUUGAAAGUGGUUUGAAAGUUAAGGAGUAUGAGCUUCUUAGGAGGAACUUUAGUGACACUGGUUGUUUUGGAUUCGGUAUCCAAGAGCACAUUGAUCUUGGUAUCAAGUAAGUCAUUUAUCUAAUAUGGAUUACAUUGAUGCUUUGUUCAUAUACAUUAUGGAGUUUUUAUAGGUCAGCUUAUGGAUAAAUAUUCUUUUGCUGCAUGUAAUGACCAACCUCUAAUUAUGUACGUGCACUUUUUCAUGAUGAGUUCAGAUGUGGAAUUGAUUAAAGAUGAUGGCUUCACUGGUUUUUGUGGAAUGUUUGAUUAGAGAUGAAAACUUAAUUGGUUUUAUAAUAUAUGUGGACUUUCGUUUUCUUUUCUGUUUUUGUAAAAUAUCUGAUUUGGGUUUGAAGAAGACUUUCAUAAUGACUUUAGUGGUUUCUUUGUGGAAUGCUGGAUUUUGAUUUCUUAAUAUGAGUGAUUUGGUUGUUUUUAUUAUUCUCAUUUAUAUACGUUUUGUAUUUAGGUAUGAUCCAUCUACCGGUAUCUAUGGAAUGGACUUCUAUGUAGUUCUUGAACGUCCAGGAUACCGUGUUGCUCGUCGCCGUAGAUGCAAGGCUCGUGUUGGUAUCCAACACAGAGUGACUAAGGAUGAUGCAAUGAAAUGGUUCCAAGUUAAGUAUGAAGGAGUUAUCCUCAACAAGUCUCAGAACAUCACUGGCUAAAUUGUACUUGAAUCUUCAUAGAUUUUUGUUGAUUCUAGCUUUUGUUUUUCAAGUUAUCAUCUUUACUUUUCUGGAUAUUGAAGAAUCGCUUGUUCUAGUAAAACCUCUUUUUGACGUCAGUGUGGUAGAAACUAAAUUUCCAAGUUGUUUGAGUUACUGUUUUUGUUUUUUUUUACAAUUAUCAAAACCUUGGACUUCAAUGUUCCUGAGUUCUGCAAAAAAAUCGAUUAAUAAACAAUGCGCUAUUACAUGAAUCUCCUAGUAACGAAGUGAAGAGUAAGAGCAGUACACACUGUACAAUCAAGAGACUUAGUAGACCUUAACUACUCUUGAUGUAUCACAGACCAUAAGAUACUCAGACCAAUGAGAGCUUUUAUUUUAAUUACCUUGUUGCUCAGGUCAAUAUUCAAAUGGAGGAAAUCUCCCUCAUUAUUGCUGUUGUCUGAAUCAAGGCAUCUAAAGCAGACCUAGAUCUUAAAUGUCUUAUCAUUCCCACCUUCAAAUCCGGCAGAAUCAUCAGCAGAAGCAAGAAAAGAUUAUCCGCCGUUGCAUACCACCUUAACCAAUCAAAAAAUUCAAAUGAUAUCUACAUCAAUUCACAGGAACUUGAUAAACUUUCAGGAAAUGAGUUUUUCCCCUGGUUUACUUCAUCUUUGUUGUAACUGUAACUCUAUGAACCUCUCUAAUGGUCAGUGGCGGACCCAGCCCUAAAUUUAAGGGGUGUCAAAGAUUGGUUUUUGGCCCAGAACGAAAAUAAUUUUAAGAAAAAAAUAGUAUAAAGCAGGUGCAACAUGGAAUCAAAUCUGGGUUAUGUGGGUCAAGAGAAGAUUGUUAAAAUAUCAUAUUUUAGUUAGUAUUUAGGAUAUUUUUCAUAAAAAUUAAAGAUUUCUUUUUGCAGAUAUUUUAGAUUAUAGGUUAUGAAACAGUUAUUGCACCAGACCCACAUAAACAAUGAGACAACAUAGAGAAUGUUCGCACUACUUGAACCAAGAAAAGAAAAAUGUAAUACCGGUUGAAACAAAGAAAAGAAAACUUAGAGAGAAGAAGACAAGAGACAAAACUGUAAUUACUAAUUGUUCAUUGCUUUACGAAACUAUGUUCUUAUUCAAUGAAAGACAUGGCUCUUAAAUAGCCUUAUAACAAAAAAAAAGAAAAAAAAAACUCUUAAUAGAUGCAACUAAUUUAAACAACUUAGACCGAGAAGCUCGGUCAUUAUUUGAUCAUACUAAAACAUGAAAGACUAAUUCAAACUUGUAACUCCACCUUCUCAUAUCUUUUCGUGCUGAUUUGCUCCAACAAACCCUUACUGAACUUUUUUUAUAAGUUUUAUUUUGUCUCUAACUGAGGAAAUCUCAAGCCUACUCCUCAUCCUUUAGAACACUCUUCUUUUAGUGGUUUGUAAAGAUGUCUGCAACUUGUUUCUCUAAACCACAAUGCUCCAAACUAACUUCUCCAUCACUAACUAGGUCUCAUAGAAAGUGAAAUCCAACACAUGUCGAUGUAUUUUCAUAGAGAAUGACAAUAAUUCCAUCUACCUCAUAUCCUAGCUCCAUUAAGACACGUUUGAACCAAAUAGCUUGACAAGCACAAUUUGAGGAAGCCAUAUAUUCGGCUUCAGUUAUGGACAAUGUGACUAUUGCUUGCUUCUUUGAACACCAUGCUACAACAACAUUAUCCAUAAGAAAUUCAUACCCCAAAGCUCUCUUUCUACUAUCAACAUACCCUGCGAAAUCACUAUCAUUAUAGAAAAGUAAUUCUCCCAUUCCUCCUUUGUUGUACUAGAUACCGAAAUAAGUUGUGCCUUUCAAAUACCUCAAAACCUUCUUUACUGCCUGGAAAUGUAUCUUUGUAGGAUUUGACAUGAACCAGCUUAACAAAUUUGCAUAGAAUUGCAGAUCAGGCCUUGUGGUGGUGUUAUACACGAGGAUCCCUGUAUAAAUAAGAUAAUCGACAAAAUUGGCAAUCAAGAUGUUACCUUGAUUUUUGAUCUUGAGAAACAAGGUUUCUUCAUUCUGGUACUUCAUGAAACUUACCAAAAAAGUACUCUUCAGUGCGACUAAGCAUGCCCUUGGAGUUUGUUUAAGGCCAUAUAGUGCCUUGUGAAGUUUAUAUAUGUUUGUCUUAUUGUCUUUCUACUACAUACCUUUUUGGUUGUUGUAUGUAGAUAUCCUCAGUAAGAAUACCAUGGAGGAAGGCUGAUUCCAUGUCAGUCUGGUAUAUCUCCCAAGCUUUCUGAGCUGUUGUGGCUAGGAUGGUCAUGAUGGUGUCCAUGCGAGCAACACGAGUAUACACCUCGGUGUAAUCUAUUCCAUGUUCAUGUGAAUACCCCUUCGCUACAAACCUCUUUUUAUACUUGAUUGUCUCGUCAUGCUGAUUCAACUUUGUCUUGUAGAUCCACUUUACACUAGUGCAUUUAGCUUCAGAUGGGAGGAAAAAAGCUCCCAUAUCUCAUUCAUUACGAUUAAAUUUAUUUCCUCCUUCAUUGCUUUCCCUCCACUUUGAUACUGUUUAGCUUCUUCAAAGCUUGAUGGAUCAGUUGAAUCAUUUCAAAAACAUUCACUUUUUCUUUUAUUCAUCCUCAACAAGAUAUCGUGGUGCUCGUCCCUCCAUGACUUCCACAUUCUGCUCAUUUUGAGCUCUUUCUACAGUUUCCACAGGUUAUGGCGUUAUGCUAUCUCAUCACCACCACCAACGUUGUUAUCCUUUUUCUCACUUUCUUCCUAAAAAACAUCAUCAUCUUUCCAAGUCAGUUCAUCCGCACCAUGAUGAUCUUGAUCUUCUUCACAGUCCUAUCCCUUUGUUUCUUCAAAUACUACAUCUCUUCUCACCACAAUAUUUUUAGCCAUUGGAUUAUACAGCCUAUCUCCUUUUGAAUCUUCUGAGAAACAAAGUUGAACAUAUGUUGUGCUCAUAUUAUCAAGCUUUCCUUGUUUCUGAUCUGAGACAAUAAAGAAGAGAAACAUAGAGAAUGAGAAAGAAAAAAGUUUUAGGAUGAGUAUUUUGAAAAAACUUGGGGAAUCUUAUGUUUUUCUUCUUUUUUUCCUAAUUCGUUAUUAAAUUUUUCAUUUUUAUAGUGUAAAAUACUCUUUUUCAUACUUCAUAUGAAAAGGUAUAGUCUCUAAAUAUGAGUCAUAUGUGGAUAUCUCAACAAUAAAAAAUUAAGAAAAAAUAAAAAAUUAGAGAAAAAAAUUAGAUAUCAGAUCUCAAAUAAGUAUUUAUUAGAACUUUAUGUGAUACCCUCUUUCAUUUAUGUCGUUUUAUUAAUGGUUAGAUUACAUCAUAAACAAUGAAAUUUAAUUGUAAAAUAAAAGUGAACUAAAAUAUAAAUAUAAAAUUAUUAAGAACCUCUUUUAAACUUCUUGUCCGUUGAGGUUGCUCUAACAUUCUCUUCACCAAAGAAAAGAUUUGAACUCAUUUACAAAAAAAAAAAAAGGAUCUGAUUUAUCUCACUCUCACUCUUAACUCAUGAUUUGACAUUUUUUUUAAACUUUUCGGCUAAGAGACGUCUUUUGUAUAUCUCUUAUUUAAGAGACGGUUUUUACGUUUUCUUAGUUACAAGUUAAGAACCAUCUCUUAGCCGAAGUUAAGAACUCCAGUUAAGAGAUCGGGUUAAUCAUGACCGAAGUUCUCUUUUUGAAUCAAGGGUUUUUAUUAAUGGCUGAAGAACAAACUUUAAAAAAGAGAAAGAAAUACAGAGAAAGCCAAAGAACAAAAGCUAAAUGGUGAAACACAAACCCAUCUCAAAGAAAUUACUUCUUAGGUUCGGAACCAAUUUCCAAACAACUAAUUUUACCAUUUAACAUAUACUAAUUUGUGUAUUUGGAAAAUUGCCAAAAUUGACUUAAAACUUAAUUUUAAAUGUAAAAUAUACCAUGCUUCAAUCAAAUACAAAAGUAACCAAAAGCCUUUUGAAGUUACAAUAUUUCCAUAUGACCAAACAAAAAACCAGAAUGCAUUUUUACGAAUAUAAUCUUGGGAAGUCUUUUGUGGUUUUAAUGUCUACCGUGAGAAGAAUUCUAUUACAAAUCUUCUCAAGAAGUAGGUCUUAAAAAUAAUUUAUAAAUUCUUAUAAAAAAAUAUUUUUAUGGGGACGAUAUUGAAAUCAUGUAAUUAUAAACAUUUGCAAAACCAUAUAAAUUAAGAUCUUGUAAAAUUGAAUUGUUUUCAAUAUAGAUGAAUGAAUGUAGUGAGUCAUGAUAUUCUUUGGUUGAGGGCUUGGUAACAUACGUUUUAGUAAAAAAAAAAAAAAAAAAAAAAAAAAAAACAUAUGUUUUAGUAUUAUUUGUAUUUUUAGGGUUAGAUUUAUGAAGCUUAAUUUUUUUUUUGAAAAACUAAAUCUUAACCUAUAUGUGUUUAGUUUUAUGUAUAUUAAACACUUUUAAGUUGAUUUUAAGUUUUAUGAAAUGUUUGUUUCUACUUAGUUAGUUAUUUUGAGUUUAGGAUUUAGGUGACUUAAGUCUUUCAACAAAUAAUGCACUAGUAGAAGACUUCCGCAGAAGUCUUCUGGACAAAUAUUAAAUUUAGGAUCUAGAAGACUUCUAUGAAAGUCUUUUGAAUCGAAAAUAUUUAACCUUAUUGAAAAUUUUGUCUACCUAUAUAACGAUAAUUUACAUAUUAUUAUUUUUUCUUCUCAAAUGACGAAACAAAAAUGUAAUGUUCCUCACUCUAAAACUCUCAAACCUCGCUUUAAUUUUUUCGAACUUGAAAACACCAAACUUUAUAUCAAUUUCUCAUUUUUGUUUCAUGUUUUUCUUACUGAUUUAUUUUGUUUUUAAAGGUUUUUCAUGACAUGGUUCUCAUCUUCCAUUCUUUUAAAGGUAGAUCUAUAAUCAUUUUUCUUCGUUUGGUAACGUUUUGUUGCUUAAAGCUCUUACUUUUUGAAAACUUUUUUUUGUUGCUUAAAUCUCUUACCUUAUUUUUGAAGCUUUUCUCUGUUUUGAUACCAUUUAAAUGCUUUUGAUAUGCAUAUUUUUCAGAUUUUAGUUAGGCUUUCAAAGACUUUCAAAUAAGUCUUCUUAGAAGUUUUUUUUAACAUAAUGCACUAGAGGACUUCCCUGAAGUCUUCUGCCAGCGUCUUCUCUCAUGUCUCUUCUUUCGUAAUAGAUGUGAGCAUUUUGGUAAGUUUUUAUGUCUGAUUUUUCUUCAUUUGGUAACCUCUUAUUGGUUAAAGCUCUUACCUAUUGAAAACUUUUUUUGUUGCUUAAAGGUCUUACCUAAUUUUUGAAGCUUUUCUAAGUUUUGAAACCAUUUGAAUGCUUUUGGAUAUGCAUGUUUAUCGGAUCUGAGUCAGACUUUGGAUGGAAGUCUUCUAACAUAUAAUGCACUAUAAGAAGUCUUCUCACAGAGUCUUCUCCCAUGUCUCCACUUUCAUUACAGUUUUGAGCGUUUAUCUAAGUCUCCAUGUCUGAUUUUUCUUUAUUUGGUAACCUCUUGUUGCUUUAAGCUUUUAUCUAUUUUCCAAAUUAUGUCUUCUCACAGAGUCUUCCAUGAAGUUUUCAAAAACCUUUAACAUGAACAUGAGGACUAUCAAAGUUUAUGAUGUCUAUGUCAAGUGGAUUCCAAGCUUAUCUAUGUGGAGAAAUAAUCUCUAAUUCCAAGUGUAAUAGUUUUUUUUUUAUAGUUUGUUUUGUGAUUUAUAUGUAUACUCUUUUAGUUGUGGAUUCUUUUGUAAAUUUGAAGAGAUGUUAAUGAAAAGAAUUUGGUAAAUAUGUUCAUAUCUACAAUAUUAUCUUUCCAAAAAGUACUUGACAUUAUUAAAGUUCUAUGCAACUACAAUAGCAAAACAAAAUAACACAAAUAUUUAGUCAAAUUUACUAAAACUAAGGGAGAAGACUUCUAAAUAACAUAGAUAACUUUACAAAAUAUCAAACAUUAUAAGAGAAAAACAUAUAGCACUUUCAUUAGAAGACUUCUCGAUAGUAUAUAUUUUAUGUGGGAAAUUUUAAUCUGGAAUUUAAAAUAUAAGCGGAAAAUUUAAGCCAUAAAUUAAAAUUUAAGAGAAAAACUUGAAUUUUAAGUGAAAACUUAAAUUUUGAAUCUAAUGACAGUUAAAAAGUAUAUCUUAUAAUCUAAGAAGACACAAUAAUCCACAUGACUUGAUAUUUUUAAAAUUACUUAACACUUUUGAAAGUUAAAAUCAUAUCUUAAAGUCACUUAACACUCUUAAAAGUACAAGUUUACAAAAACUAAUGUAAGAAAUCUUAAUAAUUCAGAUUAGGUAGAAACAUUUAUAAACAUGAAUGUUGGUAACCUCAUAAGUAUCACCAAUUAAGUUUUGAAUUUCAUUCAUGAACCCCAAUAUUGACUAAUAUGCAUGAAUUAACAAGAAAAUAUUUUAAAAAAUCUUUUUAAUUUAGAGAAAAUAAAAAUUUAGUACACAAGACUUAGAAGACUUUCACAGAAGUCUUCCCCGAGAAGAGUUCUACGGAAGUUUUCUUGAAAUAGACUUCCGUGGAAGUAUACCAUUCAUGUAAUUUUUGCAAUUGCAAUUUUAUAAAGAAACACUUACAUAGACUUCUCUGGAAGUCUUCCUUUGUAAAUAUUGCCUUAGUUUUGUUUUUAAAAAAUUCUCGAAAAUACUAGAGAUUACUUUUCAGAUAAACAGGUUAGUUUUGUAAUUGACCGAAUUGUGUCAGAAAUUUGAAUUUCUAUAGAGGACUUUCCGGGAAGUAUUCCGAUGGAAGACUCUUGGGAAGUCUUCUCAACUGUCACUUAAGUCUUAUCACUGUAGGUGGAAUUCUGCGUAGGUUACUUUUGCAAUUGACAAUUAAAAAUUUAAUAUUUAUAACCAAAAAAAAUCACGUGAUAAAAAGCUAGAAGACUAUCAAGGGAAGUCUUCUAACUAAAAUUAAAUAUUUAAGUUUUAAUUGUCAACUGAAAAACUAACCUACACAGACUUCCACCGAUAGUGAGAAGACUUCCAGCGAAAGUGGGAAGACUUCCACCGACAGUUGAGAAGACUUCCAAGGAGUGUUCCGACGAAAGACAUCCCGAGAAGUCUUCUAUAGAAAGUCAAAUUUCUGACAUAAUUUGGUCAAGCAAAACUAACCUAUUUAUCUAAGUGACUUCCAGGGAAGCUUUCUCGUUUUUUUAUUAACAAAAAGAAGUUGAAAGACUUCCAGAGAAGUCGUCUCUAAGACACUCAGAUAAAGUCAUUUUCAAAAAUAACAUAUGCAUUAACCCUAAGACUUCCGUAUAAGUCUUCUACGACAAGAAGACUUUUGUAUAAGUCUUCUACAAUGAGAAGACUUCUAAGGAAUUAUUCUUGGCGAAUAAAUCUGAAAAAAUGAUUUCAUACCUUGAACAUUGAGAUGAUUUGUUUAGCUUCUCCAAACACACAAAACUUCACCACGAAAACGACCUUCUCGUUAAUGACCAAGAUUCAUGAGCUUGAAUGACUCUAAGAACCUUACAAAGUAUGUAAUCAAAAUCUUGGGGAUUUUUUGAUGAAUACAGAGAGAAACUGAAAAAUAUGUAGUUUUUCUGCAUAAGAAAUGAGAUAUGAGGAGUGGAAAUUGAUUUUUAGGUGCAUUAAAAGUUUCAAAUUGGUUGUUCAUGGUGGUUGAUGUAUUUAUGACAAUUUAAAUAUUGUAAAUACUUGAUGAAGGUGAGGAUGAUAGAGUAAAACACUUAUUUUAAAAAAAGAAGAAGGUAUUUUUGUAAUAAUUUGAUUUUUUGGAGUGAAUAGGGCAAAUGAAAGUUCCAAAAAUCAUGUGUUAGUUUUGGGGUUUAGUUAAAGUUUUCAAUCAUAUUUGGAAAACCCCCUUGUAUAUUUUAGGUGUUGGAUGAUAAUUUUUAAAGAAUAGUCCUUUUGUAACAACUAAUAGGAAAGCUAUUUUAAACUGAUACUUUUUUUUUUGAAAAGUUAUAACAUUAGUUUGUUUGAAAAUUAAUGUAGAUAUGUUUUAUGGUUGUUUUAGUUGACAAAAGAUAAUAAAUGUUAAAAGUUAAGAUUAAGUAGUUCUCAAUGGUAUUGGAGUGUAACUAAAAAUUAUUUUAAAGGUAAGUUCAUAGUUGUACUUCAAUUUUAAUAGAAUAUAUAUAUAUUUUGUAAGUAAACUAAGUUUAGAAAAUUUUCUCAAAUAUCAAAUAUAUUAAGGUGAUAUUAAUUUUGCACAUACAGUAAGGUCAUCUUCUCAUUAUCAAUAUUUACUCUUUUUUUUGUAACACCAUCAAUAUCUACUUCUCUUCUUUCUUUCCAUUUUCUGUAUAUUUUAUGUUUUUGACAGUUACACUAAACCUUUUUUUAAAGAUCAAUAUUAAUUAGUAUAUAACUAUAAAAAAUAAUAUUUGUCUCAAAAGAAAUCUCCAAUCUGUCUUAAUUGUAAUGCGUUAGUUUUUUAAAAAAAAUAUUUAAUUAAACAAAUUAUUUAAUUAAUAAAUGAAAUAAAAAUUCAGAAAAUUACAGAAAAUUAAGUAAAAUUUAUAUAAAAAUUCAAAAAUAACAAUAAAGUUUUUUGAAAUAUAAAAAUAAAUAUCUUAAUAUUUAAAAUAAAUUAUAAGAUAUCUUCAUCGUUAACAAUGAGAUUUCUAACAUAUCAAUGUUGAUUGUAAUGGUUUCAAACACAUCUUUGAUAACAAUGAUGAUUUCAGACAUAUCUCCUCCAUUGACGGUGAUGAUUUUUGACAUAUCACUGCUGAUGAUAAUAACUUUUGUUGAUGAUUACUUAUAUAUAUUUUUUUUUGACGAAAAAAAUGAUUAAAUCCGGGUCUAUUAAAGACACAAACCAAAAUUUUUUUAUGUAUAACCAUUAACAACUGUUUUGACAUAUCUCUGAUGAAAGUUUUCGACAUAUCAUGGUUGAUAAUGACAGUAGGUAUGUUGAUAACAAUGUAUUUAACAAUUGUCCUUUGUUAACGAUGAUAUGUCAGUUUUUAAAAAAAGCAUCAUAUAUAUAUAUAUAUAUAUAUAUAUAUAUAUAAAUAAGCUAUUUUUAAUUAUUAUUUUUUUCAAAACUAUUGUAAUUUCUAAAUUUAAUUUCCUAAUUUUCUGAAAUUUUUUGAAUUUUAUUUAAUUUUCUGUCUUUCUAUUUAUUUAUUAAUUAAUUAAAUAAUUAUCUUUUAUAAAAAAUGAAACAACAUCGUUUUUGCAAGUGCCGGUCAGUUCUUUUACGCGAUGAACAAGUAGGCUAAAAUGGAGGUUUUUUUAAAUAUAAAUGCAAUUUUGAUGGUUAAAAAUGUUAGUAAAAACCUUUAAGGUUUUUUUUUAUUACAAUGAACGACUAUCCUAUUACUCAAACAUGAGGUGAUCUGGGUAACCAGAUCGAAAUAGAACAACCAAUAAAACAAAGCUCUCUAUGGAAAGACCUCACAGUCCUACUAAAGAGUCAGAAAUCUGAUUUUGCGCUCGUGAAAUAUGAGUGAUAUUAAGGUUUGAAGUGUUAGCAAGUGUCACUUUGAUGGUUUUUAUGCUAUUUCCCUUAAUUAAUUUGCGUGCAUGUAGUUUUUGAAGUCUGAAAGAAAAAAAAAUACAAAUAAAAUUGCCUUGUGGAAGACGCCUUGGUCCAAUGGUUUGACUAAGAAUUCAUUAAUGCUUCUACACCAGGAGGUCUGAGAUUCAAACCCCAUAAAAUGCAAAUUAUGCAGAUCAUGGAGAAAAAGAGUUACAAGAGGUCUUCAGCAUGGUGCAAAAGCGUAUCAUCGAACAUGGAUCUCAUAGUGCGGCUCGGAGCGAUGCAGUCAAACGUGCAUUCUCAUAUGAUGGUAGAAUUGUCGGCUGUAGAAUCGUCUAUUUAAUAUUUCUCAUCGUUGUAAUAUCAUACUUAAUCAGACGUUAAGAAAAAAAUAGUAAUUUGAAAUUAACUGAAAGAAAAUAAUUGGAUAAUCUCUUUCGUAAUUUUGAUAAACAAAUGGUUAACGUUGACCCUAUGCAUGAGUUCUUUUACCUUCUGACUCUAUGCAUGAGCUUUUACCUUCUGACAAAGGAAACAUUUAAUUUUGGUCCACAUCUUUAUUAAUACCAAAACGUUUUUUGCCAUUAAAAAUAAACCCAAUGCCUCACUAUAAAUACUCAGUAACACAUCUCAAUAGCUGCAUACUCAUUUCAUACUCACUACAAUUUCCUAACUUUGUUUGAUAAAAAUUCUAAAGACCAGACCCAGAUAUGGCUUGCAGACUUCUUUGCCUCCUCGUCGUCUUCGCCAUCAUCACCUUCGUUACCCACGGUAUUUAUAUUUUGUAUACGUAAUAUAAUAAAGACUUUUAUGUGUGUUUUUGUUUACAAUAGUAUAAUAUUAUAUUUUCGUUGGAAAAUUUGGAAGGGUCUGGACCACAUUGUGGACUUAAUGACGUAACUCUGAGACAAUCGAAGUCCGGAAUGGUUGAGAGCAAACCGGUGUGGAAAGUGACACUGAACAACCCAUGUAUAUGCUUGCUCACUAACUUAAAGUUGUCAUGCACCGGUUUUGAAUCGGUCGUGCCUGUUGAUACGUUGAUAAAAACCGGUGACGUGUGUGUUCUCAACAAAGGUAUACAAGGAGACUUUGUUUUCAAAUAUGCAUGGGAUACUAGCUUCGACUUCAAGGUCAUUGAUGGCACGUUUUGCGCAUGAAAGCUUUCGAGUAAAUUCGAGCUUAAUUGAACUGAUGAUAUUUACUCAAAUAUGUUUAGAAUUUUGAUAUGAAUAAAAAAUAAUUUCCUUAAUAUUGAGUUUUAUUAGCUAUUUGGCACGAACUUGAUUUUGUUUUUAAUUAGAACAGUACAGUAUUCUUAAACCAUCAAGCAUGUAUUUUGCCGUAAGUGAGUUUAAUUAAUUUUUAGGGGCCAAAAUAGCUAAAGAUCCAAUGUCUCAGAUGUCUCUAAGAUAUGUAUGUCAAUGUUAAAGUCCCAAAUUUAAGUUGUCAUUGAUUCAAUUGUAGUUAAUUUUCCAUUCUAUAUUUGUAUUUCAAAGACUGUUGUUUUGACUUAAUUUAAUAUGAGUGAUAAAUUUUAUUGAGAAACAUAUAAAUUUUGUAGAAAAUUAAAAAUCAAUGGAAAGAAAUGUUUAUUUAAUUUUUAUUUUAAUACAUAAUAAAUAACCAAUUACAUCAUCAUAAAAUCUCUUAUUCUAUUACAUUUGAUGAUCAAUCUUCCAAAAAAUGUGAUAUUGAUGAACAAUUCCAUGCAUAAUGUUUCCACGAUGAAGCACUCUUCGAAACACUUACAUUAACGGAUGGUUCUACAUGUACGACAUCCUCGAUGAACAUGAUCUCUCCACAGCAGACGACCACAACGAAUAGUUCUGCCAAUAGUACUUUGAAACCUCAUUUAAACUUAACAUCUUAUAAUCUGUAAGAAAUUACAUUUUCUGGGAUUAGAACCUAAUAUAGUAUAACUUCUUUAAAUUAAUACUCUAUAAAUUAAUAUACACUAAAAAUCUCUAUAAAAUAAUAUAAUUUUAUAGUCCCAAAUCGAGUUUUUGGUUCUAUUAGUAUAUCAAUAAAUUAAUAUCUCUAUAAAUUAAUAAAAAAAUUAUAGUUUUGGUUUAGUCCUAACAUUAUUAAUUUAUAGAGGUUUCACUGUACCUAGAUGUAAAAGCUUUUUAUUAGUAUGUGUGAAAAUGCUAAAACAUCAAUAUUUAAAACGUCAAUAUUUACGGAUGGAGUACUAUUAUAAAAAAUAAAUAAAGUAGGUAGUAUUUAAUAUUAUUAUUUAGAUGCCUAAAAAAUAAAAUAAAAUAAUUGUUCAUUUUAAUACUGAUAAUAAUAAUAUAUCUCUAUGAAGUAUUAGAAAAUACUUUACCAACAUAGAAAUGAAAAACCUGUGAGAUAUUAAUUAUUUUAAAAGUAUAUGCAUGAAACAUAUAGUUUGACAAUAUUGUUUUUAAAUUUUAAAUUUAUUUUUAUAAGAGAAUCAUUAGUCAUGGUUUCUGAACAUUAUUUUAUUAAUGUCUUAAAGUAACUCAAUUAUGUAAUAAUUAAAAUUAUUUUAAAACUAGCUCUUCCACUUACAGAAUAACACGUGACAAGUUAGUUUCUUAACUUUUCAAUUAAAAUACCAUCAGCAACAAUCCAUUAUUGUUUUUUCUUACGUUUAUUUGAUUUAUCAAUACUAUUAAAAUGGAACGGGUUCCAAGAAAUCUACUUACAAAAAAUUGUUGUCCUUAUUAAUUAUAACUUCGAAUGUUUUAUAAUAUAUAUGCACUAAAUGUGUUAUUUGGCUUUACACUCCCUUAUUAUUUGCUAGACCAUCCCACAAAUAGUUCUUAUAUAAAUGCAUUUCAGCAUUUAUUAUCUUUACAUAUUGUUUUAUUACCACACGAUCUCAACAUCUAUUAGGCAUACAUAUUUUUAAAAAUCAAAAGUCAAAAUGAAAUGCCUUCAAAUAAUUAAACCAUUUCCGUAAUGUAUGUUUUUACUAUAUUAUCGAUAUACUGAUAUUGUAACCGUUAAGAAACUAUAUAUUAAAUUUUAUAUCACGCUUAGUAGUUAGUACUAUAUAUAAUAUGUACAUUCGUAGUUUUCUAUGAUUUAGAUUAUACUUCAACAUCCAAUAUUGCACUCAGUUUAUGUACGGGUUUUUAAAAACAUUCAUUACGGAAAUUAUUAUAUACUACUAAGAUUAAAUUAAACCAUUUUACUUAGUUUAAAAUAUUAUACCUGCCAAUACUGAAGAUAUAAAAUAAAAAUACAUAAACAAAAAUCUAAAACUAACUUUUUAAAAUCAAUUCCUUUUAAUAUCUGAACAAACAAUCGAACAAAAAUUUGAAAUUGCUUUAGUCAAAAAAAUAAACGGAAAUCGACAAUGCGAAUUUCGGUUCCCACAUUCACCACGAAAGUGACCUUCUCGUUAAUGACCAAGAAUCAUGAGCGUGAAUGACUCUAUGAACCUUACAAAGUAUAGAAUUAAAAUCUUGGGAAUUUUUGGAUGAAUAUAGAGAGAAAGUGAAAAAUAUGUAGUUUUGUGCAUAAGAAAUGAGAUAUCAAGAGUGGAAAUCGAUUUUUAGGUGCAUUAAGAGUUUCAAAUUGGUUGUUCAUGGUGGUUGGUAUAUUUAUGGAAUGUAAAUAUUGUAGAUAGUUGAUGAAGGUGAAGAUGAUAGAGUAAAACACUCAUAUUUAAAAAAAUUGGCAUUUUUGUAAAUAAUUCAAACUUUUAGAGUGAAUAAGACAAAUGAAAGUUCGAAAAAUCAUGAGUUAGUUUUGGGGUUUAGUUAAAGUUUUGAGUCAUAUUUAAAAAGACCCUUGUAUAUUUUAGGCGUUGGAUGAUAUUUUUUUAAAGAAUAGUCCUUUUGUAACAACUAAUCGGAAAGUUUUUUUAAACUGAUACUUUUUUUUUGAAAAGUUAAUAUAUUAGUUAGUUUGAAAAUUAAUUUAGAUAUGUUUUAUGGUUGUUUUAGUUGACAAAAGAUAAUAAAUGUUAAAAGUUAGGAUUAGGUAGUUCUCAAUGGCAUUGAAAUGUAACUAAAAAUUAUUUUAAAGGUAAGUUCAUAUUUGUACUUCAAUUUUCAUAGAAUAAAUGUAUUUUGUAAGUAAAUUAAGUUAAUUUUUUUUUUCUCAAAUAUCAAAUAUAUUAUGGUAAUAUUAAUUUGAGAUAAUUGGCUAAGGAAAUUGGGUAACUACCCCCAAACGCUGAAAAAUUCUUCGUACAUUGUAUACUUUUGGUCUCUCUUGACAGUAUUACCCCUGCCCAAACAUUCAUGCCUUUCUCUCUCUUUCCCCAAUCUCCAUAUGUAUUAUAUCUCUCUAUUUUUUUAUUUUUUCUUCUCAAAACACAUAUCUUUUCUCAAUCUUCAUUGAAGUUGAAAGUUUCUCCUCAAACCCACAAUCAAUUUUCUCUUCGAAUCUUUUAACAAUACACAAUUCCUACACUAAUCUCCUCAUCUUCAACUCAAUUCUUAGACACACCAAAAAAAAUCCUCCAAUUUAUAAAUCUCCCAUCAAUGAAUUAAGGAUUACAAUUGGUUGCAAGAAUCAAUAAUCUAGAGAGAAAAAAAAAACACAGUAGGAAACUCAAGCGUAUAUUGUUGUACGUUAACAAAUAAUAUUUAACGUUAUGUUUUAAAGUAAAAUAUAAUAAAAAUUGUUAGUGGAUAACUUCUUUAUUAGACACAUAUACUUAUCACGUAUCAAAAAUAAUUACUUCAAUCUUAUAUGUUAUUUUACCAUAUAAAAUAUAAUGUUAAGUGUAAUUUUUGGUUUAUAUAAGAUAUAAUCAUUGUUAACCUUAAAUAAUAAACAUAUAAUGAUGUAGUUAGUCCGAUAUCUUAUUUUGUUGCAUUUAACAAACCAUGUGGCAGCUAACGUUAUAUACAUUUAACAUCUUACCAGCCAUUUUAAAAGCGACAAAAUGUUUCAUAACAGCUAGCCAAAUAUGUAUUAGAUAAUGAACAUAUUUUGUAGAAAUUUACAAACCAUGUAUUAUAAUACAUCUAUUUUAAAGCAAAUGAGGCUUAACGUUAAAUUAUAACAUAAACGUUACAUGGUUUUGUAGCGGAUAAAUUUUUCAUCAGAAGUAUAACUUAUAAAGCACAACAUAAAUGACUUCAAUCCAUUAUGAUAUUUACAGAUAAACAUAAACUUGGAUGUAAUAUUGGUUUAUAUAUAAUAUAAUAAUUCUUAACGGUUAAGCAUAUAAAAUGGGUAACUACCCCCAAACGCUGAAAAAUUCUUCGUACAUUGUAUACUUUUGGUCUCUCUUGACAGUAUUACCCCUGCCCAAACAUUCAUGCCUUUCUCUCUCUUUCCCCAAUCUCCAUAUGUAUUAUAUCUCUCUAUUUUUUUAUUUUUUCUUCUCAAAACACAUAUCUUUUCUCAAUCUUCAUUGAAGUUGAAAGUUUCUCCUCAAACCCACAAUCAAUUUUCUCUUCGAAUCUUUUAACAAUACACAAUUCCUACACUAAUCUCCUCAUCUUCAACUCAAUUCUUAGACACACCAAAAAAAAUCCUCCAAUUUAUAAAUCUCCCAUCAAUGAAUUAAGGAUUACAAUUGGUUGCAAGAAUCAAUAAUCUAGAGAGAAAAAAAAAACACAGUAGGAAACUCAAGCGUAUAUUGUUGUACGUUAACAAAUAAUAUUUAACGUUAUGUUUUAAAGUAAAAUAUAAUAAAAAUUGUUAGUGGAUAACUUCUUUAUUAGACACAUAUACUUAUCACGUAUCAAAAAUAAUUACUUCAAUCUUAUAUGUUAUUUUACCAUAUAAAAUAUAAUGUUAAGUGUAAUUUUUGGUUUAUAUAAGAUAUAAUCAUUGUUAACCUUAAAUAAUAAACAUAUAAUGAUGUAGUUAGUCCGAUAUCUUAUUUUGUUGCAUUUAACAAACCAUGUGGCAGCUAACGUUAUAUACAUUUAACAUCUUACCAGCCAUUUUAAAAGCGACAAAAUGUUUCAUAACAGCUAGCCAAAUAUGUAUUAGAUAAUGAACAUAUUUUGUAGAAAUUUACAAACCAUGUAUUAUAAUACAUCUAUUUUAAAGCAAAUGAGGCUUAACGUUAAAUUAUAACAUAAACGUUACAUGGUUUUGUAGCGGAUAAAUUUUUCAUCAGAAGUAUAACUUAUAAAGCACAACAUAAAUGACUUCAAUCCAUUAUGAUAUUUACAGAUAAACAUAAACUUGGAUGUAAUAUUGGUUUAUAUAUAAUAUAAUAAUUCUUAACGGUUAAGCAUAUAAAAUUUGAAUAGACAAUGGUAAAGUUAGCAUGCUAACCUUUUUGGUAUCAUCUACCAAACCACAUAUCAGCUAUCGAUGUUAUUUUUAGCAUCUUAGCAGCUAUUAGUUAAAUCGAAAAUAUAUUUUGUAACAUCUAACCAAACAAGUAUCAGAUAAAUGAAACAUAUUCUAUAGAAAUUUAUAGCCAUGUAUCAUAUAACCAUAACUAAUUUGAAACAAAGAAAUUUAAUGUAAAGCUUUAACAACUAACCAAACUUGUAUAUGCUCACGAGACUUAUUUGGUAACAUCUAAUCAAACAUUUACUAGUUAACAGAAAUCUUGUUCUUGUUAUACAGCCAUGUUCCUUUACCAGCAUGUGAGUCGAAGAGAUCUCCCUUUUAUGCGCCAUAAAAUUGCUUAAAACGUUUAUAUCAUAGUGGAUCUCAAACAAAUCGACAAAGAAGCUCUGGUAGACGAACUCAUCGAGAGGAUAAUACUCUUUGGAUCUAGACAAUGUGUUGAAAGAAAUACACUAAAAUGAAAAGGUAUUCACAUCGAUGAAAACAGAAAAGAAAUGAAGAAUCCAUUGUAGAAAUGAAAAAAAUGAAUUUAAAGAUUUUAAAGAGAUAUAAGAGAGAGAAAGAGAAGAAGAUUAAUUAUUUGGACAAGAGAUUUUGUAGAAGAGACACGGGAGAGAAAGGGAGAGAGACAGAAGGAUUUUGGUCAGGGUUAGUUUUGGGGUUUAAAAAUAUCAAUAGUGUAUGUGACCUAAUUACUCUAUUAAUUUUGCACAUACAGUAAGGUCAUCAUCUCAUUAUCAAUAUCUACUCUUUUUUUUUUUUGUAACACCAUCAGUAUCUACUUUUUAUUCUUUUUUUCCAUUUUCUGUAUAUUUUAGGUUUUUGAUAGUUACGCGAACUUUUUUUUAAAGAUCAAUAUUAAUUACUAUUUAACUAUAAAAAAUAAUAUUUAUCACAAAAGAAAUCUCCAAUCUCUCUUAAUGUAAUGUAUAAGUUUUUAUAUAGAAAUUCAAAAAAUAACAAUAAAGUUUUUAAAAUAUUUAAAAUAAAAAUCUUAAUUUUUAAAAUAAAUUAUAAGAUAUCUUCAUCGCUAACAAUGACGAUUUCUAACAUAUCAAUGUUAAUUGUAACGGUUUCAUACAUAUCUUUGAUAACAAUGAUGAUUUCAGACAUAUCUCCUCCAGUGAGGGUGAUGAUUUUUUACAUAUCACUGUUGACAAUAAUAACUUUUUUUUUUUGAAACUGGACAAUAAUAAUUUUUGUUGAAGAUUAUUUAUAUAUUAUUAUUAUUGACCAAGAUUUUUUCUUUAUAACCAUUAACAACUGUAUUGACAUAUCUAUGAUGAAAAUUUUCGACAUAUCAUGGUUGCAAUGACAGUAGGUAUGUUGAUAACAAUGUAUUUAACAAUUGUCCUUGGUAACGAUGAUAUGUCAAUUUUUCAAACAAAAAAUCUUUUUUUUUUUUCAAAACUAUUUGUAAUUUAUAAUUUUAAUUUCCUAAUUUUGUGAAAUUUUCUGAAUUUUUUUUUAAUUUUCUGUCUUUCUAUUUAUUUAUUAAUUAAAUAAUUAUCUGUUAUAAAAAAUGAAACAUCAUCGUUUUUGCAAGUGCUGGUCCGUUCUUUUACGUGAUGAACAAGUAGGCUAGAAUGGAGUUUAAAAAAAAAUAUAAAUGCAAUUUUGAUGGUUAAAAAUGUUAGUAAAAACCUUGAAGGUUUUUUUACAACGAACGGCUAUUCUAUUAAUCAAACUUGAUGUGGUCUGAAUAACUAGACCGAAAUAGAACAAUCAAUAAAACAAAGCUCUCUAUAGAAAGACCUCGCAGUUCUAGCUAAAAAGUCGGAAAUCUGAUUUUGCGCUCGUAAAAUAGGAGUGAUAUUAAGGUUUAAAGUGUUAACAAGUGUCACUUUGAUGGUUUUUAUGCUAUUUCCCUUUAAUUAAUUUGCAUGCAUGAAGUUUAUGAAGUCUGAAAGAAAAAAAAUACAAAUAAAUUAGCCUUGACCCAGUAAUUUGAAAUUACCUGAAAGAAAAUAAUUGAAUAAUCUCUUUCGUAAUUUUGAUAAACAAAUGGUUAGAGUUGACCCUAUGCAUGAAUUCUUCUACCUUCUGACUCUAUGCAUGAGCUUUUACCUUCUGACAAAAGAAACAUUUAAUUUUGGUCAACAUCUUUAUUAAUACCAAAACGUUUUUUGCCAUUAAAAAUAAACCCAAUGCCUCAAUAUAAAUACUCAGUAACACAACUCAACAGCUGCAAACUCAUUUCAUACUCACUACAAUUUCCUAACUUUGUUUGAUAAAAAUUCUAAAGACCAGACCCAGAUAUGGCUUGCAAACUUCUUUGCCUCCUCGUCGUCUUCGCCAUCAUCACCUUCGUUACCCACGGUAUUUAUAUUUUGUAUACGUAAUAUAAUAAAGACUUUUAUGUGUGUUUUUGUUUACAAUAGUAUAAUAUAAUAUUUUCGUUGGAAAAUUUGGAAGGGUCUGGACCACAUUGUGGACUUAAUGACGUAACUCUGAGACAAUCGAAGUCCGGAAUGGUUGAGAGCAAACCGGUGUGGAAAGUGACACUGAACAACCCCUGUAUAUGCUUGCUCACUAACUUAAAGUUGUCAUGCACCGGUUUUGAAUCGGUCGUGCCUGUUGAUACGUUGAUAAAAACCGGUGACGUGUGUGUUCUCAACAAAGGUAUACAAGGAGACUUCGUUUUCAAAUAUGCAUGGGAUACUAGCUUCGACUUCAAGGUCAUUGAUGGCACGUUUUGCGCAUGAAAGCUUUCGAGUAAAUUUGAGCUUAAUUGAACUGAUGAAUAUGUUUAGAAUUUUGAUAUGAAUAAAAAAUAAUUUCCUUAAUAUUGAGUUUUAUUAGCUAUUUGGCACGAACUUGAUUUUUUUUUUUUAAUCAGAACAGUACAAUAUUUUUAAACCGUCAAGCAUGUAUUUCGCCGUAAGUGAGUUUAAUUAAUUUUUAGGGGCUAAAAUAGCUAAAGAUCCAAUGUCUCAGGUGUCUUUAAAAAAUGUGUGUCAAUGUUAAAGUCCCAAAUUUGAGUUGUCAUUGAUUCAAUUGUAGUUAAUUUUGCAUUCUAUAUUUGUAUUUCAAAGACUGUUGUUUUGACUUAAUUUAAUAUAUUUUAUUUUAAAGUUAAACUUUAAUUAAAAUUCAAAAUAUAAGUGAUAUAAUUUUAUUGAGAAACAUAUAAAAUUUUCAGAAAAUUAAAAAUCAAUAGAAAGAAAUGUAUAUUUAAUUUUAGAGUAACACACUGCGUGAUACUCAAUGACGGAGUAGAAACUUUCUCUGAUGGCUCUUCCAUGGUUCUGAUACCAUGUGAAUCGCAAGAAACAGAGAUAUGAAGAUGAAAACUUUGUUCUUAUUAGACUGUUUCAACUUACAUACAAGAGUGACCCUUUACAUCAUUAUAUACAACUCUAGAAUCCUUCCAGUCAAACGUCAGCCCAUGACCGCAGAGCUGUUAAGAGCCUCGAAUCUGUUUGCUGUAACGAACCCUAGAGAUGGCGUGCUCGUACGACGGAGGUGCGUGUUGAAUGCUUUGGCACAAGACGACAAGACUGAAGCCGUAGAGUCUCCAACGGUCGACUUGUCUUGUUGAACUUGGGCUUUGCUCGAAGGCCCAUCUUCAAUAUGGCCUUUAUUCCUUUCGCUGUUUCAACACCAGUAUGCUUCCAAGAAUUUCAACAUCAUCAUAACCAAAGAGCUCAACCUGACUCCAUUGGUCAAGAGGCCUCUCUUGGCUCACAAAUAAUUGAUGGACAUUAAUUUCCAAGAAUGGCCAGUGGAUGUAAAUAUAAUGAUAAUAGGAUAAACAAUAGAAUAAUAAAACAGUAUAAAUAUAUUUAAAACAUUUAAAAAUGUAGAUAUUGUUUUUGUUGUCCAAAAUUAUAUAUUCUAUUAAUUUUCAAAAAAUAGUGCAUUAUGUGUUAUAGAUAUUUUUUUUGUUAAUUUAGAUUCUGGUUCGAGUGCGCUAAGGGGUAACUGAAAGAAGUUUGGGUGUUAACAGAGACAUAGCAGACGACGGCGUAGACAUGGGAGUCACGAGCUCUGGUACUCACAACGUCCAUAAAAUUUAAACCAAUGAAUUUGGUACGAGUUGUUAUGAUUUAUAACAUUUCCAGUGUAUAUUCUUCAUCAGGUGAUCAAACAGGAAUCGGAUCACGAUUAUCUCGACGCGCACGGAAUGCUUAUUCGGUCAUCAAAAACAACUCAAUCGCCUUCAGUAGGUUAGUAACAAUUGCAUUGUGAUCAGCAGUAGAUUAUAUUAUCAGCAUUCACUUAUAUUAUAGUCUAGACGAAACUUCUGGUAAAGACUGUGAAGAUAGAGUUACUAAUAUCGUCUACAAGGAAAUCUUCAAGGAUGUUCAAACAACUCAGGUUAGAUCUACACGUUUAGAUAAUAUAUCAAUAACAAAUUGAUUUCGUUAACAGGAACUGACAACACCCAUUACUUGGCACUGGUACUUGAAACAUCUCAUUACUUGCAGUGAAAGCAACCGGCUCUAAUGCUUGGAUGUCUUGGAUACAGGUUCACGAAGACACAUAGGUAGCAUCCCACUACUUAUCAUCCACUCUAAUGCUUCGGCAACAACAUCAGUUGCAAAACUACAGUCACUAUUAUUUUGAGACUCUUCACUCUAUUUACAUUUUUACAUUUCAUCCACAUACGACUCUUAUUUUAUACUAUUAAAUUAUUCUAAGAUGUGUACAAACAUAUAAAAAAAUAGAAAUAGAUUGUACACUCAUUAUAUUGAUAGGUAAAAAGUAUGCAUCGCAAAUGUAAAGACCAACCCAUAACAUUCUCUUCCUACGAUCAACACUCUAAUAGACAAAAAAAAAUAUAAACAUAGAUCCACAACUACGUAAAAAUAAAAUAUAUAUUUAUAUAGUCGAAUAAAAGACACGAUAUAAAAUAAUGUAAAAGAAUGAAUAAAUCAACAAUUGUACACCAUUGAAAUAAAAACAGAAUAAAACUUGAAAUAAACAAUCUUAUUAAUCCUAAGAAAAAAUUAAGUUAAUUGUAAUGAAAAUGAAACUAAACUAAAAUAAUGAAUCAUAUUAAUAUAUAACAAAUCAUUUUAAAAUAAAACAAAUAUUAGACAAAAAUCAAAAAUAUUUACUCUAACAAUUUAAAUUAUUUUCAGAUUAUCAUCCCGCCCGUCCUGUCCUAGUAUCUAUUUAUAAAAAGUAAAGUUCCCUCUCUUCAGAACUCUCCACGUCACUAAUUCCUUUCUUCCUAGCAUGACACGUGUCCGCCUAACUAGACGCAGCGUAUCAUUAUCUAUAUCAGAAAUUGGUUGGGCUUCACGUGUCUAGAAUUCUUUUUUCUUUAACAUUUUGUCUUUUGUUCGGGCUUAACUUGGGCUAACACGUUUGUUUCAAGUCUGUUCUUUUUUUAGGCAAACACAAAGGUCACGACAUUAUCGUGGAUGAUGUCGACUCUAGAUUUUAGGGUUCUUUGUAUUCUCAGAAUAGGUUCAACUACAAUGGAGGUUCUGGAAUCUUCCAUUCAUGUCGUCUUCGAUUCCUUAUUCAAUGCUCCUAAUCUCCUUUCAGCCGGUGGAACUCCACCUAUAAAAAAGGCCAGUCUCUAUCCCAUGAACAUCAUCCCACCAUCUUACUAAUCUUACAAGAGAAACUUUUUUACAGUAUUUUGGCUAACUCAUAUCCCCAAGAUUUCUUAGGGUCCAUCUCAUUGUUUUCUUCUUUCUUUCUUUCUGUAACUAGGUGCACCGAAAUAAAGUUUCUUGAAGCUUAUGGGAGAAGAAACUUCGUGGCGAGUCUCUUUAGCUAUAUCCGUUCUUCAUCUCAGAUUCUUCUCCCCCGGACGUUACGGGAUUCAUUGAUUCAGCGAUAUUCAAGACCAUCUUAACUCCUUAGCCACGGCCACGAUCCAACUUCGAUUACUCAUUCAAUGCAUCUUAUCUCUCUUCCCAUAAACAUCAUCCUAACGAAUCCUAUUACAAUAGAAACUUUGUUCUUAGUAUAACGGGUAAAACUUUGGAAACAGAGAAGAUAUGAAUAAAAGCAACAUUCAUAGCCGUUGUGUUAAAGAGACAGAAAACAGAGCAGUACGGUUGAUCUGCAUUUAGGAUUUAUUUCCCGGCACCAGUCCAUCGGCGUACUCCUUAAUCACACAACCAGUCAGACAACAAAAAAAAAACGGUGUUACUCCAAGAGCAACCAGAUAUACAGCUAAUGGAAGAGCCACAACCAGUCGUCAACGAUAAACUUCACACCGUCACCACCUGUCUCCUAUGCGAAGUCGUUCAUGUCUUCUCAUAGAUGUUACUCCAAGAGCAACCAGAUAUCAUCAGGAUUCGUGAUCACUAACGCUUCGUCUCAGGUCUCUGUUCGAGGGGUAAGCCUCUGUUUUUUUUUCUGUUUUCAGGCGAUUUUUAUGCCAACCACGUUUAAUAUCGGGCAAUUGUCAAUAAUAGCACCUUUUGAAGUUUAUGUCUCAAAAAUAGCACUAGAAUGAGAAAGUCACAAAAAUGACAUUCAUUAAAGGAUAAAAUAUCCCUAAUACACUUGGUUUAAAAUUAAAUAAAUAAACAAAAAUAUAUAAAAAUAAAUAAAAUAAAAAUAAAAAUAAAUAAAAAAAAAAGAAAUUUUUUUAUAGUUUCAGAUUAUAUGUUUUCAGAUUCAAAAUUUUUAUAAUUUUUUUUUUUGAAUUUUUUUUUUGAAAUUUUUUUUAUUUUUUUGAAAUUUUCUUUUUAUAAUUUAAAAAUACUUUUUGAAACUGUUUUUAAAAUUUUUAUUUUUUAUUUUUAUUUUUUAUAAAAUUUUAAACCUUAAUUCCAAAACUCUACCCCUUAAUUCUAAACCCUAAGGUUUGGAUUAAUUAACCCAAGGGGUAUAAAUGUAUAUUUACCUCUUUAAUGAAACAUAUCUUUGUGACUUUGAACCUUGAGUGCUACUUUGGGAACAAAAACUUGGUUUGGUGCUAUAAUAGUCUUUUUCUCUUUAAUACCAGUGUACCAAAUUCUGUUUUCAAUUUAUUUUCUCCAUUUACAGAUGGUUUUGAAUCUGUUUGCUUAUUAUGAUUUUGGUUUUUUUUUUUCUGUUUUCAGGCGAUUUUCAUGCUGGCCACCGUCAACGUCUAACCACUUACAUGCAUCUUUUGAAAGCGAGUUCAAUAUACUCCUUGAGCAUAAUCAUGUAAGCAUAAUCAUUCUCAUCUAUGAUUUUAGAUCUCUUUGCAUUGAUCAAUAACAGCAUUUAGUAACCCACAAAUCUAAAGUUAUCCCCUUUCUGUAACACAUGAGAGUUGUGUAGCUUUGGAAAACUCUUUUAGUGUCACUUGAAUUGAUCUUUGGGUUGAUUUUUGUAUGGUAGCAAAGUUGUAGAGUCAUUAAGUAUCACUUUCCAGGACCCUUCAUUCUCGCCACUUCUGAUAUGGUAGAAGAAGUAUAUGUGACAGCUGAGGGUAGUGAAUGAUAGUUGUACCUGAAAGCGAAAUUAUCAAACCCCUAAAAGCUGGAGCCGAAGCUUCUAAGAAGCAAUUGAAAUGUGGACAGAAGUUGCUCUAGGUAAAUUCUGUUUAACUUUUUCUCUAUGAUUGAAAAUUGGUUUCAGUUGAUAUAUAUCUGCACUUAUAUAGUUAUAUGGUCUGAUUUGCAGUUUAAUUAUGGCUGCAAAAGACCAAGACCCAUAGAAUUUAGUUAUAUUAUCGCCACUGCCUCCUACUCUGCUCCCUUUGCAGUAUAUCAUCAAUAAUAAAACGUAUGUGUGAUAAGAAGAACGCUUUUCAGUAUGUUUUUGUUGUAGUUUUGCAAAGAACAUAAUCUCAGGAUGAUGAAAAUUUCAUAGCCUAUGGCGACAUGUAUGCAGAACCUUCAGCAAGGAAAGCUGGCCAUCAAUCUGCAAAUAACAGGACCGUGGCUACAGGAAUACCAGGUAUUUUUUAUCCCAGUAGAUAGAUAAUUGGUGGAGAGGUGAUGUUGAGAUAUUAAAACUGGAAUAUGCCUAAAAUGCAGUUGCUUCUGGGCCUGUUUGUUUCUCCAUCUGGAUGGACCAUCUCGAUGAAGAUGAGAGUUUUGUUUGUUUAGGCACUAAAAGUGCAACUCAUUCAGAUGGAAUCAUCCGGAUGACUUUUGAAAAUUUAGGCUUAAUUUUAAAGUCCAUUCAGCUGAACUAAUUUGGAUCAUUUGAAUGGAGAUGGUUAAUUCAAAAUGGUAUAAUGUCUAUUAUAUCCAUAAUGUAAUUCACAAAUUACAAACUUAAACAUAAUAUCAUUUUUGUCACAAACGAAAACUGACAAAACUACAAAACACUUUUUUCCGUGCUAAAAACUACUUUUUCACGCCAAAACUCCAAAACGCAUUUUUCCGCUAAAAUUUCAAAAAAAAUGUUUUCCCGUCAAAAUUGCAAAAACGUGUUUCCCACAAAAACCGAAAAACAUGUUUUCAUGCCAAAAUUGUUGAUAAGCUUGAAGUAGCUUAUAGAUAAAGCUAUCUGUUUAGGAAAUAGGAAAGUCCUUUGAUAAUUAGGAGUAUCUAGUUAUCAUAUGUUAUGUGAGUUUAGGACUUUAUAUUUCAUAUAUAAACCGAUGUCAAUGUGAGACAUACGGUGUGGAUUGUGAGUGAUUGAAAAGCUUAAGUUUUGUGAAGUUUCUUAAGCAUAAAUAAGAGAGUAUUCUUAUUUGAAGUUUGGUCUUUAUUUCCUAUAGUUGUGAUCCUUUAUUUGGUAUCAGAGCCACAGGACAUUGAAAGUAACUGAACUACGACGAUGGGAGAUGUCAAAGAUGAAAUCGUGUUACACAAGGACAAGGGUCCUGCCUCCAUAAAGUUUCCUAUGUUAACCUCCACCAACUACACCGUCUGGGCUAUGAGAAUGAAGAUAGCACUAAAGGUAAGUGAAGUUUGGGAAUCAAUCGAACCAGGAGUAAAGGAUGAGAAGAAAAAUAACAUGGCAACUGCGCUUCUGUUCCAAUCGAUACCAGAGGCAUUAACCUUGCAAGUAGGUGAUCUUGACACUGCAAAAUCUGUUUGGGACGCUAUAAAAGCGCGUCAUGUUGGAGCUGAGCGAGUGCGUGAAGCAAGGUUACAAACCUUGAUGGCGGAAUUUGAUAGAAUCAAGAUGAAAGAUGGAGAUGCAAUCGAUACUUUUGUUGGAAAGCUAUCAGAAAUAACCUCAAAAUCAGCUUCGUUGGGAGAAACAAUUGAAGAACCAAAGCUUGUGAAAAAAUUCUUAAAAAGCUUGCCAAGAAAGAAAUAUAUUCAUAUAGUGGCUUCUCUUGAGCAAGUUCUUGAUCUCAAUACUACAAGCUUCGAGGAUAUUGUUGGUAGACUAAAGGCCUACGAAGAAAGAGUUACUGAAGAGGAAGAAGAAGACUCGCAGGACGACUCCGGGAAGUUGAUGUAUGCAAAUACAGAUUCAUCGAGUCAAGAAGGUCCUAACAGUUCAAACUACCGUGGUCGUGGUCGAGGCCGCUCUAACUGGAGAGGUCGAGGCCGUGGACGCUAUGGAGGGUUUCAGCAACAACGAGAAGCUUACAGACAAGGACGUGGAGGAGACGCUUCUCAUAUUACAUGUUUUCGAUGUGAUAAACUCGGACACUAUGUUCAAGACUGUCCGGACCUGAAGUUAAAAUUUCAGGAAACAAUUGAAAAGAAGAAAGAAGAUACGACUGAAGCUGAUGCCUUAAUGAUGAAUGAAAUUGUUUUCUUGAAUGAAAAGAACGUGAAUCCUAACCAGUUUGAGACCGAAUCAGAUUCUAAAGAUAUAUGGUAUCUUGACAAUGGAGCCAGCAAUCACAUGAGUGGCAAUCGUUUAUACUUUUACGAGCUUGAUGAUACCAUUACCGGCCAAGUACGUUUUGGAGACGAUUCAAGGGUUAAUAUCUUAGGAAAAGGAUCAGUUCGGUUCAUAAUCAAAGGAGGAGAGAAAAGGAAUCUCAAUAAUGUGUAUUAUAUACCUGCAUUGCGAAGUAAUAUAGUCAGUUUGGGGCAAGCAACGGAGGUAGGCUGUGAAGUAAGAAUGAAAGGUGAUACGUUGAUGCUAUUUGACAAGAGUGGAACAUUAAUGAUCCACACGACGCGAGCAAAGAACCGGCUGUACAAGGUUUCACUACAAGUUGACGCCUUACGAUGUUUACAGAUCAAAGACACGACAAAGCCUUCCUUAUGGCACGCAAGACUUGGUCAUAUAAGUCGAGAUACAAUAAAGAUGAUGGUUAAGAAGGACAUUGUCGUCGGAGUAUCCGAUGACAAUCAUAUCUCAGAGACAUGCGUCUCAUGCUUGAAAGGAAAGCAAACUAGGAAACCGUUUCCCCAAGCAACUUCUUAUAGAGCCGAUAAACCUCUUGAGUUGGUACAUGCGGAUCUUUGCGGACCCAUCACACCUUCAACACCAGCACACAAAAGGUAUAUCUUCGUGCUCAUUGAUGAUUAUUCACGGUACAUGUGGACCGUGCUGCUAAAGGAGAAAAGCGAAGCAUUUGAAAAAUUUAAGCGGUUUAAGUUACUUGCCGAACAAGAAACUCAAACAACGUUGAAAACGCUUCGAACAGACAGGGGAGGCGAGUUUGUCUCUCACGAUUUUCAAAGCUUAUGUGAUAAACACGGCAUCAAGCGACAUCUCACGGCACCAUACACGCCACAACAGAAUGGGGGUAGUGGAACGGCGUAAUCGAACUUUGUUAGAGAUGACAAGAAGUAUGUUAAAACAUAUGAACAUGCCAAACUUUCUUUGGGGAGAAACAAUAAGACACGCUACCUAUCUUAUAAAUAGGGUAGCCACAAGAUCACUAGAGGGAAGUACUCCAUAUGAAGCUCUAAAGAUGAGAAAGCCAAACCUCUCACACUUAAAAGUGUACGGAUGUGUGUGUUAUGCUAAAACCGACACGGCAGGAAGAAAGAAAUUGGAUGACAGGUCACGUGUUCUAGUUCACCUCGGGAUCGAGCCAGGGUCGAAGGCAUAUCGUCUUAUCGACCCAGACAGCAAACGAAUCGUUGUAAGUCGCGACGUUGUGUUCGACGAAGAAAAGGAAUGGGGAUGGAAUGAUAAAGGGAAGGCAAAGGAGAGUGAACGUGAGGAGUUUGAGAUAAACUUGCGACGUCUAACAGAAGUAACAGUAGAAGGAGAGGCAACAACUGAUGAAAGAGAGAAUGAAAGUGAUGAUGAGAAUGUCGAAGCCGAGAAUGACUUUGACAACGAAGAGAACGAUGAUCAAACGCAACCAAGGAGAUCAACAAGGAUCUCUACAAAGCCAUCCUAUCUCGACGAUUACAUUAUGUUAGCUGAAGUUGAAAGCGAGCAGCUACUGAUGAUCAUCAACGAUGAACCAUGGGAUUUUAAUGAGGCUAAGGAGCUAAAGGUCUGGAUUGAAGCCUGUAAAGAUGAAAUCUGUUCUAUAGAAAAGAACAAUACGUGGGAUCUCGUGGAGCUACCCGCAGGAGUUAAACCUAUAGGUUUAAAGUGGGUAUUUAAAAUAAAACGCAAUGCUGAUGGAACUAUUAACAAAUAUAAAGCUAGAUUGGUAGCUAAAGGAUACGUUCAAAGACAUGGUGUAGACUAUGAUGAAGUGUUCGCCCCGGUAGCACGCAUUGAGACUAUUAGGUUGAUCAUUGCCUUAGCGGGAUCACAAGGUUGGGAAGUACACCAUCUCGACGUCAAGACGGCGUUUCUACACGGGGAACUCAAGGAAGAAGUAUUUGUAAACCAACCUGAGGGCUUCGUUGUACCUGGUGAAGAACGUAAAGUUUAUAAGCUUAAAAGGGCUCUUUAUGGAUUGCGUCAAGCUCCUAGAGCAUGGAAUAUAAAGCUGAAUCAGAUACUGCAUGGUCUAAGCUUCCAGAGAUGUUCAAAGGAACCAUCUCUUUACCGAAAAGAAACGCAGCAAGAACUUCUUAUUGUGGUGGUUUAUGUAGAUGAUCUACUGGUUACAGGAUCAUCUCUUCGAGCUAUACUUGAAUUCAAACGAGAGAUGGCAAUGAAGUUUGAGAUGAGUGAUCUUGGCAAGUUAACAUAUUACUUGGGAAUAGAAGUUCUACAACACAGUGAAGGCAUCACACUCAAACAAGAUAGGUAUGCGUGCAAAAUCCUUGAGGAAGCUGGUAUGAGUUCGUGCAACUCAACUCAUGUGCCUAUGGAGAUGAAUGCACAAUUCUCAAAAGCGCCAGAGGAAGGGAAGAUCGAUGAAAAGGCGUAUCGCAGAGGCAUUGGAUGUCUUCGAUAUUUGCUCCAUACUCGUCCUGACCUGUCGUUUAGUGUAGGAGUACUCAGCAGGUACAUGCAGGAGCCUAAGGAAUCACAUGGGGCAGCUUUAAAGCAAAUACUCAGGUAUCUACGCGGAACCAGCUCUCUCGGAUUGUGUUAUUCACGCGGUGAAGAUGUGAAGCUGGUAGGCUAUAGCGACAGCUCGCAUAAUGUCGACAUAGACGAUGGAAAGAGCACUUGUGGUCACAUAUUUUAUCUUGGAAGGAGUCCAAUCACGUGGUGCUCUAUAAAACAGGAGAUAGUAGCAUUGUCUUCAUGCGAAGCUGAGUUUAUGGCGGCAACUGAGGCAGCUAAACAAGCUAUUUGGCUUCAAGAACUUCUAAGUGAAGCAGUCGGCAGUAAGAGCAAGCAAGUGGUUAUCAAAGUUGACAAUAAAUCUGCAAUUGCUCUCACAAAGAAUCCUGUGUUUCAUGGCCGGAGUAAACAUAUACAUAGACGGUUUCAUUUUAUAAGAGAAUGCGUGGAAAAGGAGCAAGUGGAAGUUGAACAUGUUCCCGGUAAUGAACAGAAGGCGGAUAUACUUACCAAAUCUCUUGGAAGAACAAAGUUUAAAGAAAUGAGAGAACUCAUUGGAGUUCAAGAUGUGUGUGAAGACAAGAUCAAGCUUAAGGGGGAGAAUGUUGAUAAGCUUGAAGUAGCUUAUAGAUAAAGCUAUCUGUUUAGGAAAUAGGAAAGUCCUUUGAUAAUUAGGAGUAUCUAGUUAUCAUAUGUUAUGUGAGUUUAGGACUUUAUAUUUCAUAUAUAAACCGAUGUCAAUGUGAGACAUACGGUGUGGAUUGUGAGUGAUUGAAAAGCUUAAGUUUUGUGAAGUUUCUUAAGCAUAAAUAAGAGAGUAUUCUUAUUUGAAGUUUGGUCUUUAUUUCCUAUAGUUGUGAUCCUUUAAAAAUCACAAAAAAAUUGUUUUCAGGCCAACACCCCAAAAUACAUUUUUCCGCCAAAACACAAAAAACGUGUUUUCCCGCCAAAAUCGCAAAAUGUGUUUUCCCGCCAAAAUUGCAAAAACGUAUUUUUUCGCCAAAACCAAAAAAUGUGUUUUCUCGCCAAAACCGAAAAUUUCUAUUUUCCCGCCAAAACCGAAAAAUCUUGUUUUUCUGCGAAACAAACAUAAGAUCCAUUUAGAUUAUUCAUCUAGAUGAGCUAUAUGGAUAGACAAACAAACAAUCACAAAAAUCUGAAUGAAUCAUUUGAAUAGAUCAUACAAAUGAAUCAUUUGGAUGGAGAUGACAAAUGGUGAAACAAACAGCCCCUCUAUCAACAACUCGCCCUCACAUGCAGAUAAGCUAUUUUGGAAGCUAUGUUCUUAGCGGCAUCAAAAUCUCUACUACUUGAUUCUUACCUAUAGACCUCAUUCUUCUCUAAUUCAAUAACUGAGGUUUGUUGUUUGAUCUUUAUUUCAAAACGUAUUUGUAUUGUUUAAUGUUGAGAUAUAUACGGUAAAAUAUUCAUGCUUAUUUCAAGCUGACAGAUUCUCCCGCAUUCGCUUUACCGUCCUAACUAAGUUUGUUGCAAUAACAGCGGUCACCCCUCUAAUACUGACUGAAUAUAAAUGUUUAGUAGAGGUUGAGAUCAUGACCGGGACAAAAGUAGGCGACCGAUUAUUGAUCCCUCGGAUAUAGCUUACCCCUCUUGACACUUUGCAUCCUUUCACAUUUUGUCGACGUCAAUAUCCCGUGCGGCUCUGCUAUGUGACGACAAUCGAUAAAAGUCAAGGAUAAAGUCUCAAACAAGCUGCUUUAUACCUCCCUAGGACGGGCUUCACUCACGGCCAGUUGUACAUUGCGUUAUCUCGAGUGACAUCACCGGAGGGGCUUAAGACACUAGACGAUACCUCUUGAGUCAGAUGGAGCUGAAGGAGUAACCAAUAUAGUCUAGAAAGAGAUCUUCAAGGGCCUCCAAAACACAAAGGUUAGCAUUUUUUUUUUUGCUAAAUCACAAAGGUUAGCAUUGAACUGGUUUAGUUAGUAUGCUAUUUCUGAAACGAUAUGUUUUCAAUUACUUACCUCAUCACUAUCAUCGCAGGGAAAGAAGGCAAUGUGGUAUUGAACAAUUGGCUUCGACCAAGAUAAUGUUUCAACGACUCGACUCUAUCUUCUCUUACCGUUUUCUAUUUACUACUUCGAUGAAAACCAUCAUCUUAGCGCUUUAAAAUAUAACUUACUACUAUAUGCCUACUAAAUAACUCCUAAAUAAAUAGAAUCAUCCAAGAAUAAACACUACUAUUUAAUAUACAAAAUGUAAAAAGAAUAAUUUACCUACAUGGCAGCUAAGCACUCACUUAUAUAAAAAUACAAAUUUGAUCAAAUGAAGCAUUCACACGAUAUUAGAUAACAAUUCCUCAAAAUAUGUUGUUGACUAAUUGAAAUACAUAAUAAGUAAAGGCUUAACUGUUGAGCUUAAAAUUUGUAAAAAAAAAUAUUAAGUAUAAAUUAAUGGCCACAACUGGAUACUCAAAAAAAAUGAUAUUAUUCCCAUAUUCUAGAACUAUAAUUAUUAACCACAAUAUUCAAUAUUCAAAAAUUUGCAAUCAAACAUUCGUCGCCUAUAUUGCUUUUUCUUUCUGUUUCUUAUUUCUCCAUUUUUUCCUUAUUAAUAAAUUUAUAACUGCCAUUAAUUAUAUAUUCCCUCCGUUUCAUUAAGAUAUAAGUUUUAGAAAAAAAAAAUGUUUUACAAAGAUAGAUUUUUUUUUAUGUUUUCUAUACAAAAUUACAAAUUUCAAUAAAAUUGAUUGGAUUUAUUGAAAAACUAUUGGUUAAAAAGCAUUAAUUUUUUUUAUAAUUUCAAAAAACAAUGUAUGAUUAAUGUGUUUUCUUAAUAUGUGUGAAAAUACUAGAACAUCAAUCUUUAAAAAACAGAGGGAGUAAUAUAUAAGCAAAUAUAACCAAAGAAAUAUCACACAAAGGAAACAAACAAAAGCCAAAAAAAACAACCUCCAUUGAUAGUAGUAGAUAUCUUAUUUUUUAGGACCAAAUCCGAUAGAUUAAUGUAUUUCAUAGUGUUAUAAAACUAAAACACAAUAAAACAUUAUAAUUUAGGAUUAAAACAGGACAAAAUAAGAAUGCAAUAUUUUUUAGUUAUAUAGUUGAAAUUUGUCGUAGAUAACAUAAUCAAAUUCACACUCAACUUAACAUAAAUGAAAAUUUACAAGAAAUAACAUCUUUAAUAAAAACUGAUCUAUCAAAUCCCGCCCGUAUGACGGACCUACCCUAGUAUAUAAAUAUAGAAUCCAAUCACACACCCUUAAUUUUUGUCAACAUCUUAAUAGCAAAACGAUAUGUUACUAUAUAAGACAAACCCAAUCCCUCACUAUAAAUACUCAGUAACACAUCUCAACAUUCUACAUACUCAGUUCAUACUUGCUACAAUUUCCUAACUUUGUUUGAUAAAAAUUCCAAAGACCCAACCCAAAUAUGGCUUGCAAAUUUCUUUGCCACCUAAUCACCUUCGCCAUCAUCACCUUCGUCGUCCAAGGUAUCUAUAUUUUGUAUACAAAGUAAAAAAAAAUAUUAUAACUGUAAUACAAUGUAUUCUUUGAUCACCAUAAGUCGAUGUUCCAUAUGUAUAUAUCACCAAAUAAAAAAAACAUUUGUAACAUAAAUUAUGCUGGAUUUGAACCCAUGUUGAUAUAUAGUGACACUAUCACAAAUUAGGCGGUUCACUUACAUGCGUUGGUCAUAUACCAAAUCUAAUUAGUUAAACCUUUUCUGAAAAAAAAAAUCUAAUUAGUGAACACGUAGACAAUUAUUUAGAACAUUUUUAUUAUUUAUUUUAACCAUUUAAUAUAAAACUUUUUUGUUUUUAAAUAAUAUUUUUGUUGGAAAUGUCAGGAUUAUGUGGACUUGAUAACGUUACUCUGAAACAAUCCAAGUCCGGAAUGGUUCAGAACAAACCAGUGUGGAAAGUGACAUUGAUGAACCCAUGUAGAUGCCCACUCACUAACCUAAAGUUGUCGUGCACUGGUUUCCAAUCGGUUGUACCCGUUGAUACGUUGACAAAAACUGGCGAUGUGUGUCUUCUCAAAAAAGAUAUACUUGGAACCUUCGUUUUCACAUACGUAUGGGACACUAGCUUCGAGCUCAAGGUCAUUAGUGGGACUAUUAAGUUCAAGGUCGUUAAUGGGACGAUCACUGGUUGUACAUGAAGCUUUCUAGCCCAACUGUUUUCGAGUUAAUUUGAACUUGGUUCAUGUUGAUUUAGUUUAUUUUGAGCGUAUGAAAAUGAUGAUAUUUACUCAAAUAU